UUUUCCGACCUAAAAAGUUCGAAAAUCGGAAUUCUGGAUAAGUCCUGAGAGUUUUUACUCUCGGGGACUGGUCCGUGGAAGGAGAGACCGGUCCCCCAGUGAGCAGUGUUGAGGCAGCCUGAGGCAACCGGUCCCUGGCAGGCGAGACCGGUCCCCGAGCGCGUCUUCGCAGUGAGAGACCGGUCCUGCACGGGGAGAGACCGGUUCCCGAACGUUGGUUUUUCGGGUUCGCAGCGAGAGACCGGUCCCUGCUGGGGAGAGACCGGUCCCUCUGGGCGAAAACUGCCCAGUUCGGGCUGAUGUAAUAUUGGGUUUUUGAGGGGCCUGGUUGGAUUUUGUUACUCUAGAUGGGCUUAUUAGCCAUUUCACUCCCUUCCCUCCUCAUUUCUCACCACCCUACACCUUCUAGAGAGAGAAGAAGAAGAAGGAGAAGAAGAAGAAGGAGGAGAAGAAGAAGAGGAGCUAGUUUGAGGGAGCUUGGAGCUCAACCCCUUUCUCUCUUUCCCACCUUGGCAAGGCUUGGAGCUUGCUUGUAGAGCUUAGUGGUGGACCAACUUCAACCCUAGAAGAUUUUGAGCUUGGAUUGGAGCAUCCUAGAGGUAUGUGGCAAGGUUCCUCCCUCUAGAUCUUAGUUUUGGAGCUUUUUGCUUGUUUUAACCCUAGAAUGAGAUUUAGGGUUUAAUUUUGGGCAUUUUUGAUCUAGGGCUUUUGGGGCUAAAUUGAUUGGUUUAGAACCUUCCUAGGGCUUGGAUUGGAAGGGUUCUAGCUCUCUUUUGGAGCUUUGGGAGAGAUUUCUACUCUUGAGGUAAAUUUUGGCCCUUUUUGCUCCUAGGUUAAUGUUUGAUCUUACGGUUGGUCGUGAUGCUCCCGUAUCUCUUCACUGACCACUUUUAGGGUAUCUUGAGGCUCGUGGACAACUUCGUUCGGCGAAUCGAGACCCUACGCGACGGUUCGGUGGGUUUGACCUAGCCACACAAUGAGAAAUUCUCAUGUGUGUUUAAUUAAGUGUUGUUAAAUGAAAAAGCAUGCAUAUUCUUGUUAUACGAAUUUAUUGUGAAUUUUAGAAUGCUUAAAAGGCCUACGUUAUAUAUAAUGAAAUUUUGGACCUCUAUGUAGUAGAGAGUAGCUUAUUAGGCCAUGGUUGCAUUUAGCAUUCUAUAUGAGACGCGGUAUCCUACUUCUAUAGUAUAAAUGAGUUCGGAUUCAUGCAUGUAAACCUACAAUUACUUGUGACAUGAAAAUUGACAAGAUUGUCAUUUAGAAGCUAUGUGAAUUAGAGAGCUAAUGUCAUCAAGCGGCAUUGAGCUCGGGACGCGUGUGAACCUAAUGGAUAGGGCCAUCAAGGGAUUUGAAAUACAUAUUGAACAUCAGAUUGCCUAAGUGUCAUCAAAGGGCACUAGGCGUAGCAAAGGUUGAACCUUCACAUUGUGACAUAAACUAGAUCUUUGGGAUACUAGUGACUAUACCAUGUUAGAGACAUGAGGAUUGGAUACUUUAGACUUGGACUUUGCUUGCUUGCCAUUUGUGCUCAUUCGCACAUGCUUGUGAGGGUCGCUCCCUACAAGCCGGCACUCCGGAGUUAGCCUAUGCGACCUAUGUUCGCUCGUGCGGUAUUGAGAAGCCUACGGGGUCGAGUGGGACAGACACAUUCCAAGAGUAGGAAUGUCGGGCUACCACAGGCACUUAGGCGGCACAAGCUGGACUACCUUUGGUAGGUCCUUGAUUGGAAAUGGAAAUCGAUACGGGGUCGAGAUUGGUUAAUCACUACUAGAUAGGUUUAGUAGUUGGAUUACAUUUAUAUGUUUUUUUAGCAUAGUGUUGAGACAUGUAGUAUAUUUGAUAGUCUCUUGUUGCAUUAGAGCAUACUUGGUUGCCAUGAUAGAGCUUAUGCAUCAUGCAUUGAUAAGGGUUAUUGACAUUAGACUAGUGCCAUUGGACGUAAUUGUAAGGAUAGAAUAGAUGUACAUUUUGGUUUACAUCACGCUUUCUUUCAGCAGUUUAUUUACAUGCUCCUUAUUGCUUAUUAUUAUUAUCGUUGCUUACCUUUGUUUUUGGGGCCUAGUGGAGCAGGAGCUGAGGUCAGUAAUUGCCCACUGGGAACUAUAGCUUAUAGUUCUCACGCCCUCUUUUUCUCGAUGUUUUCAGAGCCUUCCACUCAGGGCGAGGCUAGGGACCGCGGGAAGGGAGUUGCUUCGAGCUAGCUUCCUUUGAGGACGAUUCGCUAGGUGGUCUACCUCUCGUUGUGUUUUAUUUUGGAGAGGUUGAGAGUUCUACCAGUGUAUUAGAGACCACCGUUUUUGUACUUUUGAGACAGAUAUUGUACUACUUGUGAUUUCUUUAUUGUCUAGCUUUACUUGCUCUGAUAUCAUUAGUUGCUAGUUAUUUCACCUCGUCAUUUGUUCUAUUCUUGCUUUUACUUCCGCUUUUAUUGUAGACGCCUUAUAUGUGUAGACAUAUGGCGGGUCUGGGCACGCUACCGGGAGGGCCUCCGCCGGUCCCGGGGCGUGACAGAUUAAUUUGGUAUCAGAGCCUAGGGUUGAGUCUUAGUGGACCUAGCGAACCUUAGGCCGGUUGAACUAUAGGAAUUAGGCUCGUGAGAUACGGGGUCUAAUUGACUUGUGAGCGAAAGUAUCGUGAUUGGGUGUCUUGAUAACUCUAAAAAGGUUAGAGUUGGAUCGGAGUGUAUGGCUCCUAACUUCGCGGAGGGUUACGUUGGCGGCCGACAACGUAACAUCGGGAGUUAGUAGUGAAGGACACUUCCUUACUUUCGCAUGAUUUGGGUUUUAUCUAUUUGAGCGGGGAUUCGAUAGUGCGGGUUACUAACUUGCACUUUUAUGUUUUGUAGCGACGAUGCCGAUUACUCGCUCCCAGUCUGCCGGGGCGGAUGAUGCGGCACAUCCCGAGGAGGUUGAGACCUCCGCUACUUCCGGAUCUAGCGAGGUCCGUGACCUGAAGGCCCAGCUUGCGGCCCUUACUGAUCUGUUGGCGCAGCAGACGGUAGCGGCGCAGCGACAGGCCGAGGUGGCUCAGCGGCAGGAGGCACGGAUGAAGCAUUUGGAGGGCCUCCUACUUCAGCAGGCGGCAGCCUCGAGGGAGACCAAGGGUCCUACACCGCCAGCACCCGUGGUGGACGUCGCACCGAGGGCGCAGUCCCCCGCGCCCAGUUCUUCCCGUGCGGCACCGGCGCCCGCACCUCGGGAGGAGGUGGCUGCGGUACCCCCAGUACAGAGACCGGCGACGGGGGUGGCAUUCCCCGUGAUGGUCGAGGGAGCUGAGCGGGAUCGGCUCAUGGAGCGCCUCAGUGAGUUCAGGAGGUGCAGCCCGAGGAUGUUUGAUGGCGAGAACGUCAACCACUGGAUUGUUGAGAAGUGGUUGAUACACAUGGAAAAGCUGUUUCGAGACACUUUUGUGGAGGAGCGGACAGAGUUUGGCUUGCCACUCACUUUUUGGACGGCGAGGCCUACCGUUGGUGGUUGGAUAUCCAGGACAACCCCAACAUCGACUUUUCAGCGAUUACUUGGACACGAUUCAAGGAGCUUCUACUGGCGCACCACUUUCCUACCAGCGUCAAGAGGAAGAUGGAGCAGGAUUUGCGCAGCUUGCGCCAAGAUGAGCGGUCAGUGGCUCAGUACGAGAGGGAGUUCUCCCGGAUACUACANUGAGCUGAGGUCAGUAAUUGCCCACUGGGAACUAUAAAUUAUAGUUCUCACGCCCUCUUUUUCUCGUUGUGUUUCAGAGCCUUCCACACAGGGUGAGGCCAAGGAUCGCGGAAAGAGUAUUACCUCGGGCUAGCGUGCUUACCGAGGGAUCGUUUGAUCGGUGGUCUACCUCUCUUUGUUUCUUUUGUGAGAGGUUGAGAGUUUUACCAGUGUAGUAGAGACCACCAUUUUUGUACUAGAAGCUGAUAUUGUACUACUUAUGUUUCACUUUUAUGGUUUAGCUAUGCUCUUUUCCUAUUGUUAUAGAAGAUAGAAUCAUACUGCUCUGAUAUCCCUAGUUGUUGCUCAUUCGUUUCUAUUACUUCUCGCUUUUACUUCCGCUUUUACUCUAGACGCCUUAUAUGUGUAGACAUAUGGCGGGUCUGGACACGCUACCGGGAGGGCCUCUGCCGGUCCCGGGGCGUGACAAUCCUUGUAAGGACUGAGACUUUUACAGUGUAGCUAAACUCUCAGUUGACGAUGUUUUUGUGUGUAAUUUAAUUACAAAAGCACUCAUCAAGUUUCGGGAGAAAACGAGUUAAAACGGAGAUUCUACGCGAUUUCCAAGUUUUACUUAAAGUGAAUAGUAACUCGAUUUUUCGGAAAACCCACGGUGUGAAGUUGGCUUCAGGCUCAUAUCGGACUCCGUUCAUAGCAGUCCAAUAGCUCGUUUCGACCGGUUCAGCUAUUCUGGAACUAAUGGCGCUGACGGAUUUUGAGUUUGAUCCACGGAUUUCGAGAAAAUCCAAAAAUACGUGUUUUAUAUGUAUUUGUGCACAGUUCUUCUGUUGGAGAGAUGGAUCGGAUUUUGUCACGAAUCCGCGAAGGAUCGAGGUGAAACGAAAUCGUAGCUUUGUUGUCUCUGUUGUGCUGAUCUCACUGGUGCGAUCCGUUCGCAAAUCUGACGUACGGAUCUGCGGAGAUUGCGCGUUGAUUGAGGAGAGGUCGGUGAUGGCAAAACGGUAUUUUCGUAAAAAGUGUGACAUUUUAUGUGCCGUUUUGUGUGAAACCGAAGGUGGAGGUGUAUUCGUGCGUUUUACACGCACUGUGAAGGACCCAGUAUUAAAUACUGAGGUUUUGUGCUCUAACUCGCAAUUGUACACUUCUCUAUAUAAAGUUCACCUAGGGUUUGCCCAUUGGAAACCCUAACCCUAGCCUUGCCGCACCCCCCAGCCACCUUCAUCUCUCUCCCCUGCCUUGCCGCGCGUGCGACGGCCGCAACCGACCGAGCCCCGGCUCGCCAGCAGUAGCUUCUACCGCAGCCGCAACCUUUGCCACCUUCCCUCUCGAUCCAUCUCUCUCCUUCCACCUCUCUUCAUCUCGGGUUGGGGACGAGGCCGAGGUUGCUCUCCUCUACGGCAUCACCCCCGUAGCCCCGGCGACCACCCCAGUCGCCUGCCGCCGUCGCUAAGCGCGGCCGCCGCGCUGCAGCCACUUGUUGCCUGCUAGGGCAUCUCGGGCCGAGCUGAGCUCCAUCUGCUAGCCGCGCGCCGCCGCCACCUGAGGCCGCUCCCGCCGCCUUCCCCGGAGCCUCGGCGACCACCCUGGCCGGUCUCUGCCGCCCCUGCGGGCCGCCGCCGCCGCCUCGGCCAGCCGCGGCCGCCCCAGACCCUCUCAGGCCGAGGUGGACUCGCGACUUCUCCCCCGCGCUGCCGCAGCUCGGGGCCGCACCCGAGGCAUCCCUUCGGCCUCCAGCUACUCCCCGUCGUUGUCCCUGAGCUUCUCGGCCGCCGCUGUGGCCGCCUCUGCUCUGGAACCCGAGCCCUAGCUCGUGCGGGCUCAGGCUGCUCCGCCGCUGCCACCGCCGCACCUCGCCGCCGGCUAAGGUGAUCCUUGUGCUCCUUCCAUCCCCCGCACCCACCUCUGGCCCGCGCACACCUCGCCAUGCCGUCGGAAGCCGGCCGGAGCAAGCUUGCUCCAGCCAAGCCCGAAUUAGGGCUUUUCUGGGAUGGCUUACUGUUUCGAGCGACCAGAGGCUUCCCGAUCUCUGAGGAAGGGAGCAUGAUGAUCUUUAAUCCUUGCUGAUCAUCGUGCUCACCUUAGAUUUUGUCGGAAAGACUUCGUUAUGCUGUUUCGGUAGUGUCGCCCCUUCAGGGCCUUCUUGGCUGCUGUUUUGGCCUUGCGCGCACUUUUUCGGCGAUCCAAGGCUGUCCCGAUGCCUCCGGAAGUGAGCACGAUGAUCGCUGGUCUGUUCUGAUCACAGUGCUCACCUUACUUUGGAUCAGCGGAUGUCGUGUCGGCAUGUUCGGCACGAUUUUUCCCGACUGCGCGCUAUUCGCAGAACCUUCGGGUCGCUCCCGCCCCUCCCACAGUGAGCCGUUGUGCUCUGGAUCAUGAGCACGGCCUCCGGUACAUCAGACCUGUCAGUGCGUGUCUCAGCAGACCUUGAAAGUCCUCGGUUUGCGUGAACGAGCCACUUGAUCGCCAAAAUUACAUAAAAUGUUAGGAUUUUAAGUAAUUAGAGGGGCUUUUGUGCAAUUGUGCACCUUAUGGCUACUGUGGGCAGUGCAUGUGUGUGUGUGGUGACCUCUGGACUGAUUGUCCAUGAUCCGAUAGUCUUCGCCGAAAUGGAGGAGUUGAUUUCGGUGCGUUUUUCGGCGAAAUUCGCCGAAAGAACGCGAUUUCAGUUCGGAUUUCUUCUGACGUUGUUUGUUUAUCCUGUGAAUUGUCACUGAGCCUUGUUGGCUGGUCACCAUCAUCAUUUUGUGGGUUCAGUGAUGAUGGGUGAGCGACGGUGGGUUCCGGUGUCGAAAUAGACGCUUCCGGGAACCCGUAUUCGUACAAUUACUCGGCGAUAAUUGGGUAGUGGUGUUAUCUUGUGUUUGCUGCCAAGACAUCCAAACAUGAGUGUUUUGUGGCAGCGGGUAACUCGCGACACGAGUCGGUGAGUUUCGGGACACUUAGUAGGUCCCGACGGCGUCCUGGUGUGGUUUUCGGGACUUCUGGUGAGUUACGGUGAUCGGUUUUGGGAAAUCGAUUCAGGGAUCUGUGUGGGGGUUUGUGAGAUAGUAUACUUCAGGUUAGUGGGUUGGAUAGUGACCUAGUGGAUCUUCGUAGGUUCGGUGAAGUUGUGUGCAUCCAAGUUUUUCGACGCGAUUGUGACAGGUGGGUGCUUCGAGCUGGUAGUCGGUGAGAUCGUUUCACCCUUCCUCUGUUCUUUCAUAUCAGUAUCGUAGUCUCUACAUGUCAGCUGAUUGUUUAUCGUUUGUUUAUUGCAUCUCAUUGAUUGCAUUUGGAUUGUUGUGGAUAGACAUGUAGAGCAGGUUACAUAUAUAUUGUAUCUUUGUGGACCUUGGGUCUAGGCAACACAUCGACUCCUUUGUCGUGUGUUUCGAUCUGGUUGAUCGUGGUUCGGCGUUGUACGCCCUUGCACCUAGCUUCGGCCAAGGCACCGAUCUUUUUUUGCCAGUUUUCGUUUUGAGCAUAUCAGCAUGAUUUAGUCACAGCACUGUGUAUUCUAGACACCAGGUUGGUUUGGCCGCCAACCAAGAGGUGUACGUAUCCGGAUAGGUCGUCGGUGAUGCAUGAAUAAGUUGGCAGUGUCUGCUCUGUGACAGGCAAUACUCGAGGUUUGCGGACCAAUAUAGCAGCAUCAGAUUGGGUUUGGUUUGGACUAUUUACCCUUGAGGCAUACUGUAACACACUGGACCUUUGCAAAUUGCGAGGUUCGAGUGAUUGGAUGUGUUUCGAGCUUUUCCACACUUGGUGAAGGGUUGUAGAAUGCUUUUNGGACCUUUGCAAAUUGCGAGGUUCGAGUGAUUGGAUGUGUUUCGAGCUUUUCCACACUUGGUGAAGGGUUGUAGAAUGCUUUUCCGACCUAAAAAGUUUGAAAACCUGAAUUCUGGAUGAGUCCUGAGAGUUUUUACUCUCGGGGACCGGUCCCUGAUAUGAGAGACCGGUCCCCCCAGUGAACAGUGUGCGUAGGCGGCAAGGCAACCGGUCCCGCGCAGGGAGAGACAGGUUCCCGAACGUUGGUUUUUCGGGUUCGCAGCGAGAGACCGGUCCCUGCUGGGGAGAGACUGGUCCCUCUGGGCGAAAACUGCCCAGACCGGGCUGAUGUAAUACUAUUUUCUUGAGGGGCCUCUUGGGAUUUUGUUGCAUUAGAGGGUCUAUAUGACCCAUCCACUCUCUCCUCUCCCCAUUUCUCUUCUCUCAACCCUCUCUACACCCUUGAUAGAGAAGAAGAAGAAGAAGGAGAAGGAGAGGAAGGAGGAGAAGAAGAGGAGGAUCUAGCUUGGGCUUGGAGCAUUCUUUUGCCUUUCUUCCUCUUCCCACCUUGUUGGUGCUUGAAGGCUUGGACUUGGAGCUUGCAUAGGAGGAGAUCUUCACCCUUAGAGCUAGGAUUGGAGCUUCUAAGGAGGUUUGUUGCUCAUUUCCCUCCUCUAGAUCUUGUUUUGAAAGUUUUUGUAAAUGGAACCCUAGAAUAGAGAUUUAGGGCUUAUUUUGGGGCUUUUUGAUUUAGGGCUUUUGAGGCUAGAUUAAUUGGUUUAGAACCUUCCUUGGGCUUGGAUUGGAAGGGUUCUAGCUCUCUUGUGGAGCUUUGGAAGAGAUUUCUUCUCUUGAGGUGAGUUUUGGCCCUUUUUGCUUCUAGGUUAAUGUUUGAUCUUAUGGUUGGUCGUAAUGCCCUCGUAUCUCUUCGCUGAUCACUUUUAGGGUACUUUGAGACUCGUGGACAACUCCGUUCGGCGAAUCGAAGGAGCAUGUGACGGUUCGGUGGGUUUGGCCUAGCCACACAAUGAGAAAAUCUCAUUGGUGUUGAUUUGAGUACUGUUAAAUGUUUAUUCAUGCAUUUCCAUGCUAGAUACAUUUAUUAUGAUUUUUAGAAGGCUUAUUUGCCUACGUUACAUGUGGUGAAAAUUUCGGACCUCUAUGUAGUAGAGAGCUAGCAUGUGGAACUUGAACAGGUUUAGCAUCACAUUGAGACUUGGAAUCAUAGUUCCUAUGGUGAAAACGAGCAUCUCAUGCAUGCAUUUAAAGUUAUUUCUAUUUAAGAUUUAAAAGUUCCUAGUGAGCCAUAAAGGGGCUCGGGGAUUUGCACUACUUGUGUACAAUUGGGCUAAUGUCAUAAAGGGGCAUUGAGCUCGGGUUAUGUGUGAAUUUAGUGGAUAGUGCCAUUGAGAGAGUUGGAGUGUGCUUGUUCAUCGAAAUGUCUAAGUGUCAUAAAGGGGCACUAGACUUAGUGAAUAUUAGAAUUUCACAUUGUGACCUAGAACUAGAUCUUCGAGAUGCUAGUGAAUAUUGCCAUGUUAGAGACAUGAUGAUUGGGUAUUUGAGACGUUGACUUUGCUUGCUUGCCAUUUGUGCUCAUUCGCACAUGCUUAUGAGGGUCGCUCCCUUCAAGCCGGCACUCCGGAGUUAGCCUAUGCGACUUAUGUAAGCCCGUGCGGUAUUGAGAAGCCUACGGGGUCGAGUGGGACAGACACAUUCCAAGAGUAGGGAUGUCGGGCUACCACAGGCACUUAGGCGGCACAAGCUGGACUACCUUUGGUAGGUCCUUAAUUGGAAAUGAAAAUCGACACGGUGUUGAGUUUAUUAUGAUCACUACUAGACAGAGAGUGGUAGUAGGAUUACAUGGACUUACUUCUAGCAUAGUUGUGGACAUUUGGGUAUUCAUACAUACAUGUAGUAUGCUAGGAGAUGUUGUUUAUUGCAUCCUUAUAUGCAUUGUAGUCAUGACAAAGUACCACUUUCAUAUCUGUAUAAAGUAAAUCAUGAUAUUACUUGUGAACAUGUAGAUAUAUAUUAUCCAUGACAAGAUAAAGUCGCAUUAUAAAUGCCAUGUUUAAUUGCAAGCCGUAGCUUAGCAUCUUAAUUAUGCUUUCUUAUAUGCAAUUUACUCGUUACUAUUAUUGUUAGACUUACCCUUUCUUUUGGGGUCUAGUGGUGCAUUGAGCUGAGGUCAGUAAUUGCCCAUUGGGAACUAUAAAUUAUAGUUCUCACGCCCUCUGUUUUAUGUUUUCUUUCAGAGCCUUCCACGCCGGGAGAGGCUAGGGAUCGAGGAAAGGGCGUGGCUUCGAGCUAGCUCUUCAGCGAGUGACGAGUCGCUAGGUGGUCUACCUCUCGAUGUUUUUAUUUUGUGAGAGGUUGAGAGUUGUACCCGUAUAUGUAUAGAGACCACCUUUCUUUUGGAUCUUGGUAUUUCUUUUGAGGUGUUAGUAUUGUAUCACCUUAUGCUUUACUUUGUUUAGUUAUAUUUCUUUUACUCUGAUUUAGAUGAUAGAACCUUACUCGCUCUGAUAUCGUUAGUUGUUAUUAUUCUAUUCGUUCUAUUUCUUGCCUUUACUUCCGCUUUGUUGUAGACGCCUUAUAUGUGUAGACAUAUGGCGGGUCUGGGCACGCCGCCGGGAGGGCCUCCGCCGGUCCCGGGACGUGACACAUACAAUCAGUUGAGUUUUUGGUUACAGUAGUAGUUUCGUUCUUACUCAGUUAUUAUUCUGUUUCUAUUACUACUGUAGUUGCUCUUAUAUCAUAUAUAUAUCUUGUUUAUCUAUCUCCAUUGGUUUCUGGUGAUUACAGUUUGCCUUCGUGGCUCUGUCGUGCCCAUUGGAAAACCAUGGUUGCGAUUUCUCACCCUCCAUUUCCCCCAGGUGACAUGGACGAGGUGUUGGAUUUUGGGCUCGACAGGAGGACGAUCUAGCUAGUCUGGUAUAGCAACUGUGACCCUGGUUACUUUCAUUUUGGCACUUAGUAGUUUUAAUAAUAAAUGGUUCAGUUAGAUGAUCAUAUUGAUGUUUGAAUAUUCGUGAAUUGGUUUUAGUGGAUGAUUUACUAUGAUGCAUGAGAUUGGAGUUUUCAGAUCUGUGGUUUUUGGUUCUCGUAAUUAUGGAUUUACGCAUCGUGGUUUUCUACCCCUCGAGGUAGCUGGUUUUUAAAAUAGAGUUUCCGUGUGGGAAACAAUUUAAAAAAGGUUUUCGAAUGAUUUUCAUGGAUGAUUUGAAUUAGAGUUUAAAAACAAAGCUUUCGGAUGGGGAGCACUUUUAAAUAGGAUGAUUGUUGUACUGUGCAUUACAUCAUCCAGCGCCUAAGGAGUGCUUAGAGGCAUGCAUCAUCUCUAAGGAUCGUUAGCUGUAUGAAAAUGCAUAUCAUGAAAUGGUUGUUGAUUGGUAAUUGUAGAUUGUAGUUGAGAUCCUGAUGUGCCUAUUGGUACGCCGUGCAAAUACAAAGGAGACUCUGUCCGAGUGGACAGAUGAACUUUUUAUUUGUGGCGGGUCUGUAUGUCACGUGGGCCGGGUUGAAAAAAAAGGGCACGUUUUCCGCAAUUCUGAUUUCAAAAUGGUAUGGAUUCUAAAAAGGCUUUUAAAAUCGGCCCCGGGGCAUGACAAUCCCACUCCCUUGGAGGGCAGUCAGGCAUUCUUCUUUCCAAACCAUAAGAAGCGUAGGGGAGUUUAUUCUAGCAUGCAUUUGCAGAGGAGAAGUGGAAGAAGUGCGGCCGAGAUACAUGGCGUUAGGGUCUGGAAGUGGAAGAGGGAGGGGGGAUGAGGGAGGAGGGAGCUAUGCGAAGGUAGUAGUGCAAAAAAAAGGAUCUAAGUGGUGUAACAUAUUCCUAAAUAGUGCAAUGAUUUAAAGAAAAUGGUGCAACGAGUCUAUAACCAGAGAAAAAUUUUUCUUAAAUUAGGUCAUCGUACUUCUCAUCCUCAGUCGUUGUGGCAGCGGCGGGGGGCGGCAUUCGAGAUGUGCAACAUAAUGCUUAAACGAUUAAAGAAUAUCGUGCAACAUCUCUUAUAAAAGCUUACUUCUUGUUUUAGCAGUACAAUAAUAGUGCAAUGUAAAACAUGAAUAACAGUCCAACACGGAGAAAAAUAGUGCAACUAAGCUUGUAAGAGUAUAGUGCAGUCGUAAUAAUAGUGCAACAUUCACUGUAAUAGUGCAAUGCAGUUCCAACUAGUGUAAUAUAAGAGUAGAACACUGACUGGAUUGUUCUUUCUAAACUUAAUAGUGCAACCCAAUAUAAAAUGGUGCAAUAUGCAGCUCUAAUUAGUGCAAGUCGUCACUAACUAUUGUAAAUAAGUGCGAAAUCAUAAGAAGCAUAGGGGAGUUUAUUCCAGCACGCGUUUGCAAAGGAGAAGUGGAAGAAGCAUGGCCGAGGUACAUGGCGUUAGAGUCUGGAAGUGGAGGAGGUAGGAAGGAGGAGUGAGGAAAGAGGAGGGAGUUAUGUGAAGGUAGUAGUGCAAAAAAAAGGAUCUAAGUGGUGUAAAAUAUUCCUAAGUAGUGCAAUAGUUUAAAAGAAAUGGUGCAACGAGUCUGUAACCAGAGGAAAAAAAUUAUUAAAUUAGGUGUAAUAUCAACAUUAAUGGUGUAAUAUUUGCCUAUCAUGCAAUGUGUCAUUAAGUAGUGUAAAAUUUUCUCCCUGAUUGGUGAUAACAUGAAAUUAAUAGUAAAAACAGGUUUAUAAAUAGUGUAACGAUGAUCAAAACAGUGCAAAAUUCUUUGCUAAAGCGUGUAACAAUUCACUAAGAAGUGCAAUUUUUUCUCUGUAUUUGGUGCUAGCAUGAACAUAAUAGUGAAAAUAAGUUCGAAAUUGAUAUUAUACUAUGACAAAAAUAGUGCUACUUUCUUUGCUAAAUAGUGUAACAAGUUCGUAAGCAGUCCAAAGGGCACGAAAAUAGUGCUUAUGUUUCAUCGUGCCGUCUAAAUGGCGUGGUGUACAGUCUUGCCACCUCCGUGGCCGACAUACUGAGCAAUUCUGCUCUUCUACCAGCACCAACAUCAUCGCCAACGCCUAUUAGAAGUAAAAAGAUUAAAAAACGGUACGAAAGCGUGUAAGUACCAACCCCCUCACCGUCUAAAUCCUCUAGGCGCUCCUCACAUAGUGCCAAAAAAGGUAGCACUAUUUUCGUCAUAGUAUUUAGCAAAGAAGGUAGCACUAUUUUCGUCAUAAUUAAUUAGUUCAUUAAGUGAAACAAUAUUACCAUGCAACCUAUUCAAUGACAAAUUAGAAAAAAGAUUCUAAAAAUAUUGUCGAUAUGAUCUUCUAUCACAUGAGUAUAGAGAAAUAAAUAAGUAAAGUGUAAAAAAUAAAAAAUAAACAAAACAAUAUGAAAUUAAUUUAUAAUUUAUAUUAUUAUAAAAUAACAAAUUACAUAAUUAAAAAACGUUAUCGUUUGUCAAGAUUAUAGUAUUCUUCCAAAUCUCUCUGGAUGCACAAUAUUUCCUACUAAAAUUUCUUUCUCUUCCAAGUUGAAGGUCCAAUUGAUGUCAUAUCUAUGACAUUAUUAGCUCCUUAUAUAGAAAAAAAAAUACUCAAUAAAUUAACGAAAUAAUUUAUAACUAGUGAAGGAGCCCGCGCUUUGCAACAGGUAGAAACCGUAGUAGUAAUUAAUAAUAAGAAAAUAUAAAACAUUCUUUUGUGUAUCCCACUUGGAAUAUCCUCUAAAGGUCGCGGCGGAAAGGGAAAGUGGGCGCGCAUUAGUGAGGAAAAGGGAGGGAGCGAGGAAAGGAGGCGAUAGUGUAUAGCAAUAAAUGAGAAAUAGAGAAUUGAUGAAUAGAUUGGAGAUAAAAAAUUAAAAGUCUGGUGGAGGAAAUGAAAAGGGCCAUAAUGAAUAAUUGGAGAUAGAGAGGUUAGGAUUGUAGAUGGUAGUGGGACCAUUUAAAUAUAUUAAUUAGAAGUUUGAUAGUCGAAUCAUUUGCAUUAAUUGAAAAUAUAGUGAGACUAUUUAAAUACACUAAUUAAAAGUUUGGUUAGUGAGACCGUUAAAAUAUAUAUUGAAAGUUUAGUGAAAGAAAGAAGAAGGGUCACAUGCUAGUGAGGGUGAAGGAGAACUUGCCACGUAGUAACAAACAUUGGAGAUUCAUGUAGGUUAAUAGAUAUAUUUAAUACUUCAUUAAUCUAUUGGUAGUGGAAUCCAAAUGAUUGAAAAAACUGAUAAAUUAAUUAUUUAGAAUUCAUCUUUUUAUUAUUUAGAGUGGAAGAUGAAAGGAUCUGUUUUAAAAAAGAAAACUGAUAAACUAAUUAAUUUCUCUAUUAAAUUAAAAAAAUUUAAAACUACUCACUUUUAGGAGGAUAGGCGGCUCUUCAUCUUCUACGUUACUUAAAGGCCAACUAUUAUUAUGAUUAGGGAUGCAAACAGGGCGAAUCUCGAGGCGGAAGCCCUGCCCCGCCUUCCGCCCCGACUACCAAAAUCCCGCCCCGCCUCCUGCCCCGAAUCGGUGACAGGUUAAAAAAUAUAUCCUAUAAUCUGCCCCGCCUUAUAACCCGCCUCCCGUCAGCGCCCCGAAUCCGCUUCGCCAACUAAUAUUUUUUAUAAAAUUAUAAUAUUAUUAAUAUUUCGUAAAAUAUAAAUUAAUACUUUUUAAUAAUAUUAUAUAUAUAAUUAACAAUAUUAAUUAUAAAAAUUAAAAAUAUCAAUCGCAAUUCGAAGAAAAAUUCAAAAGUUUCAAAUAUAUGAGAAAUGAUAGUACUAAGUUAUUUGUAUUUUGGACUUUUUUUGUAAAUACAUUAUUUUUUAAGGAUAUUUUUAAAAAAUAUAAAUGAUUUUCGGGGCGAAUUCGGAGCGGAUUCGGGGCGGAUCGCGGCGGGGCGGAUUCGAGGCAGAUCAAAAUUUCUCCUAUUUCCUGCCCCGAAUUUGUCUUUGAUCAUAAAAUUACCCUAUUUCCCGCUCCAAAUUCGUUUAUUUUCUCUCAUUUACUGCCCCAUUUGGGGCGGAUCGGGGCGGGAGCUCCACCAACCCGAAUUCGUUUGCAUCCCUAAUUAUGAUGUGCAUGUGAAGAAAAAGAAGUACUCAACAGAACAAAUAUAAAGUUCAAUUCUAAUUGAUUUUUAAAAAUUUUAAAAUUUAAAUCCAAACCAAAGUAAUCUACACCAUUAAAAGAUCCAUCUAUAGAAAUUAUAAUUUUUUGGGUAAACUUCAAAAAUCACCCAUGUGGUUUCGCAUUUUCUCACUUUAGUACCCUGUGGUUUAAAGUGUAUCAAGUUAGUGCCCUGUAAUUUUAUUUUUAUUUUUUCGUCAGCUUCUUCGUUAAUAUUUCGUUAAAUUAUAUACAAAAAACUUCAGAUACCCCACGUAGGUUUAUCGAAUAUUCACUUUAGUACCUUUUAUGUAACACACUGGAUCUUUGCAAAUUGCAAGGUUCGAGUGUUUGAUUUGUGUUUCAAAUUUUUUCAUACUUUCUGGAGAGUCGUUAACAGUGUUCCGACCUAUGGUUCACAUCCCGAGAAUCGAUGUUUGAAACUUAGCACCAAAUCUCUAAAGUGAAAAUUGUUGGCUGCUCUUGGGUUGGACUCUGUAGAGCAGAGUACCAAUACAGCAUCGGGCCUGUACCUGAACCAGACCUGGUACCAGUACAGCAUCGGACUUGUACCGAUACCCAGUGUGUUUUUCUGCAAACUCGAGGCUCGGGUUUGCGAGUACAGUGGCUUGGUACCGGUACUCUUUCCCGUGUACCGGUACGCAGUGCAAAUUGUGAACUGCUUAUUUUUUAGGGGUGUUUUUGAUAUUGUAGCAUCUCUAUAUAGCAUCCCAUGCCCUUUAGUUGUUUCCUUGAGCUUGGAAACACAGUAGAGAAGGUAGGGAAGCCCUCUACUUCCUCCCUUUUGUUUUCUUUGAUUUGUGUUGGGAUUUUUGAGGUUUAAUCACCUCCUUUUGUCUCUUGUUGGUUUUUGGUGCCAUUUCCACCAUUGGAGAAGCUUUGAUUUCGUGAUUGGAGCUUGAUAGAGGAAGGAUCUUCAACCCUAGUUGAUUUCAAGCCUUGUUUGAAGCUUCUAAAGUGGUUAAUUGCUUACCUCUCCUCUCUAGAUCAUGAUUCUCAUGAUUUUUGUAUAGAAACCCUAGAAUGUGAAAUUUAGGGUUUAUUUUGGAGAUUUUUGAUUUGUAGCUUCUAGAACCUAAUUGAUUGGUUUAGAACCUUUGUUUAGAUUGGAUUUUAAGGGAUUUUACUCUCAUUUGGAGAUUGAGAGAGAUUUUCAUCAUACAAGGUGAAUUUAUGCCAUUUUCUUGGGUUGAUUAAUGUUUGAUCUUAGGGUUGUUCGUUUGUUGCGUUUAACUCUCUUAAUAUUACCUUUAGGGAGCUAGGAGAGUAGUGGACACCUUCGUCGGCGCAAACGAAGGGUUAUGAGGAGUCUUGGUGGGUUUGACCUCAUCGAAAUGAGAAAAACUCCACCUAUGUCAAUUUUUAAUUGUCGUAAAAUAGAAAUGCAUACAUAUUCAUACUAGAUAGAGUCUACGAGAAUUUUAAAAUGCUUAAUAUACAUGUGCUAUAUUUUAUGAAAAUUACCUCUAUAUAGUAGAGAGAGAUAUAUGCAUUGUUAGCAUGCAUGAGAAUAACAUUCUAUUAUAUGGUUUGGGAAUCAUGUUCUUGUAAAGAAAAUGUAGCACACUGGACCUUUGCAAAUUGCGAGGUUCGAGUGUUUGGAUGUAUUUUGAGCUUUUCCACACUUGGUGGAGGGUUGUUGAAUGUUUUCCGACCUAAAAAGUUCGAAAACUGAAACUCUGGGCAAGUCCUGAGAGUUUUUACUCUCGGGGACCGGUCCCUGGAAGGAGAGACCGGUCCCCGAGUGAGCAGUGUUGCGGCAGCCCUGAGGCAACCGGUCCCUUGCGGGCGAGAUCGGUCCCCGAGCGCGCCUUCGUAGUGAGAGACCGGUCCCGCGCAGGGAGAGACCGGUUCCCGAACGCUGGUUUUUCGGUUUCGCAGCGAGAGACCGGUCCCGCGCAGGGAGAGACCGGUUCCCGAACGCUGGUUUUUCGGUUUCGCAGCGAGAGACCGGUCCCUACUGGGGAGAGACCGGUCCCUCUGGGCGAAAACUGCCCAGACCGGACUGUUGCAAUAAUGGAUUUUUGAGGGGCCUCACUGGAUUUUGUUACACUAGAUGGGUUUAUUAGCCAUUUCCCUCUCUUCCCUCCUCAUUUCUCACCCUCACCCUACACCUUCUAGAGAGAGAAGGAGGAGAAGGAGGAGAAGAAGAAGAGGGGUUUGCUUGAGGGAGCUUGGAGCUUAACCCGUUUCUCUCCUUUCCACCCUUGCUUGGCUUGGAGCUUGCUUGUAGAGCUUGAUGGUGGACCAAUCUUCAACCCUAGAAGAUUUGGAGCUUGUUUGGAGGCAUCUUGGGAGGUUAGUACUUGGAUUCUACCCUUUGAUCCUUGAUUUGGUAGGUUUUACCAUAUGGAACCCUAGAUUGGAUAUUAGGGUUGAUUUUUGGGGCUUUUUGAUCUAGGGCUUUUGGGGCUAGAUUGUUUGGAUUAGAACCUUCCUUGGGCUUGGAUUGGAAAAGAUUUAGCUCUCUUUUGAAGCUUGAGAGAGAAUUCCUACACAUUAGGUGAGUUUUAGCCCUUUUGCUAAGUUUGUUAAAGUUUGAUCUUAUGGUUGGUCGUAAUGCCCUCGUAUCUCUUCGCUGAUCACUUUUAGGGUACUUUGAGACUCGUGGACAACUCCGUUCGGCGAAUCGAAGAAGCACGCGACGGUUCGGUGGGUUUGGCCUAGCCACACAAUGAGAAAAUCUCAUUGGUGUUGAUUUGAGUACUGUUAAAUGUUUAUUCAUGCAUUUUCAUGCUAGAUACAUUUAUUAUGAUUUUUAGAAGGCUUAAUUUGCCUACGUUACAUGUGGUGAAAAUUUCGGACCUCUAUGUGGUAGAGAGCUAGCAUGUGGAACUUGAACAGGCUUAGCAUCCUAUUGAGACUUGGAAUCAUAAUUCCUAUGGUGAAAACGAGCAUCUCAUGCAUGUAUUUAAAGUUAUUUCUAUUUAAGAUUUAAAAGUUCCUAGUGAGCCAUAAAAGGGCUCGGGGAUUUGCACUACUUGUGUACAAUUGAGCUAACGUCAUAAAGGGGCAUCGAGCUCGGGUUAUGUGUGAAUUUAGUGGAUAGUGCCAUUGAGAGAGUUGGAGUGUGCUUGUUCAUCGAAAUGUCUGAGUGUCAUAAAAGGGCACUAGACUUAGUGAAUAUUAGAAUUUCACAUUGUGACCUAGAACUAGACCUUCGGGAUGCUAGUGAAUAUUGCCAUGUUACAGACAUGAUGAUUGGGUUUUUGAGACGUUGACUAUGCUUGCUUGCCAUUUGUGCUCAUUCGCACAUGCUUGUGAGGGUCGCUCCCUACAAGCCGGCACUCCGGAGUUAGCCUAUGCGACUUAUGUUCGCUCGUGCGGUAUUGAGAAGCCUACGGGGUCGAGUGGGACAGACACAUUCCAAGAGUAGGGAUGUCGGGCUACCACAGGCACUUAGGCGGCACAAGCUGGACUACCUUUGGUAGGUCCUUAAUUGGAAAUGGAAAUCGACACGGUGUUGAGAAUGGUUAAUCACUACUAGAUAGGUUUAGUAGUUGAAUGACAUUUAUAUGCUUUUAGCAUAGGGUUGAGACAUGUAGUAUACUUGAUAGUCUCCUUUUUGCAUUAAAGCAUACUUGGUUGCCAUGACAGAACUUAUGCAUAAUGUAUUCAUAAAGGUUAAUGAGUUACUAUUUUGAUAUCGUAGAUGUACAUCACCAUGACAUCAUGCUUAUUGGAGACAUAGUAGUAUAGCUUUUCAUUCAUGCUUUCUUCCAGCAGUUUGUUUGUGUGUUUGCUAUUUAUUGCAUAUUACUAUAUGUCGUUACUUACCCUUUUCUUUUGGGGCCUAGUGGUGCAUCGAGCUGAGGUCAGUAAUUGCCCACUGGGAACUAUAAAUUAUAGUUCUCAUGCCCUCUUUUUCUCGAUAUUUUUCAGAGCCUUCCGCGUAGGGUGAGGCCAGGGAUUGCGGAAAGGGAGUUGCUUCGAGCUAGCUUCCUUCGAGGACGAGUUACUAGGUGGUCUACCUCUGGGCGUCUUAUUUUAUUUUGCGAGAGGUUGAGAGUUUUACCAGUGUACUAGAGACCGCCACUUUUGUACCUUUGAGACGGUUAUUGUACUACUUAUGGUUUCUUUUAUUGUCUAGCUUUAUUUAUUCACUUUGGUGUAGGUGAUAGAAUUUCUACUCGCUCUGAUAUCACUAGUUGUUACUAUUCUAUUUGUUUUAUUUCUUGCUUUUACUUCCGCUUUACUAUAGACGCCUUAUAUGUGUUGACAUAUGGCGGGUCUGGGCACGCUACCGGGAGGGCCUCCGCCGGUCCCGGGGCGUGACAGAAAAUGACUUAUGUUAUAUGCUCCUGAACUUAGAACUCAUAUUUGACAUAGUGGAUAAAAAUGUCAUAAAGUGGCAUGGAACAUAGUAAAUGUGAAACCUUUACUUGAUGACAUAGUGAUAGGCCAUUGGGUCACUCGUUUUUAUGCCAUGUUUUAGACAUGAUGACAUUGGACUGGAGACGAAAAUUUACGCUUGCUUGCCAUUGUGCUCAUUCGCAUAUGCUUGUGAGGGUCGCUCCCCACAAGCCGGCUCUCCAGAGAUAGCCAUCGCGACAUAAGCUCGCCCGUGCGGGAUUGAGCGCCAAAAUAGGAUGCCGUGGGGGAGGCUCAUUCCUAGGGUAGGGAUGUUGACUAUCACGGGGCCAUAAGGCACAGCACAAGCCGGACUACCCACGGGUAGGUCCUACAUGACUGGAAUACUAUUGAACUAAAACGCAAAGUGGACAUUAGACAAAUUAGUAAACAAUGACAUUUCACUAGUUAUAUCGUGGACAUCAUGUUUCUUAUACUUAUGCGUAUUCAUGUUAGAAUAACAUUUAUACUUAUGUAACUUCAUACUAAGCAGAGGCAUAGUGGUAUAGCAAGUUUAAUCAUGUUUAUCAUACAUAUUAUACAUUCUAGUUAAAAGUUGAACUUACUACUUUUGCUUUUUUUUUGCCUAGUGGUGCAUUUUCGCUGAGGUCAGCAAUUGCCCACUGGGAACUAUUGUUUAAUAGUUCUCACGCCCUCUAUUUUGUUGUUUUUCUUACAGAGCCUUCCACUCCGAGAGAGGCUCGGGAUCGCAGCAAGGGAGUUGCCUCUAGUUAGUUGUGAGGAGCUUUGCUUUUAGGUGGUUCACCUCUCUAUUUUUGUAUCUAUGUAGAGAAUGAGAGUUUUGUAUCCAUGUAUAGAGACCACCACUAUGAUACCUUUAGCACUUGUAUUUUGGGAUUUCAUGUUGUACUACUUUAUGCUUAUGUUAGUGGAUUAGUCCCUUUAUUUACCGCAUUAUUCUAGAAUCUAAUUGUUGUAUAUUCUGAUACUCCUAGAUGCUCAUUUAUUAUUAUUUUAUUUAUCGUUUUGUUGUAGACGCCUUAUAUGUUGUAGGCAUAUGGCGGGUCUGGACACGCACCGGGCGGGCUUCCGCUGGGUCUCGGGGCGUGACUUUUUAGUUUUAACUUUGUCACUUAUUUAACGAAAAAAAUUAGUGAAAUCAAUAAUAAAAGAAUAAAAAUAAAAUCAUAGGACACUAAAUCAAUACACUUUAAACCACAGGUACUAUAGUGAGAAAGUGUGAAACCACAUGGGUAGUAUUUGAAGUUUUUCUAAUUUUUUAUACUUAAUAUAAUAAACUUUAGAAGCUAACAUUGCUGAUUAUUACAUAUGCAUAAGAAUUAGAUUUUUUUUUUAAUUAUAAUAUUUAGAGAUUGUCCACAAAUUUAUAUAAAGACACUUUAUAUGUUGAGAUCAUAUCUGUUAAAUUAAAUUUUAAGUAUAUUAAAUUUUAAAUGCAUCCUCAGUUUGCGAUCUCGUGGUUCAAACAGCUUCACUUUUUACUUUGCCAUCUAGUGAUUCAAAAAGUUACACUUUGUCCUCUUGUGGUUUAGUGUAUUUUUCAAUUUGCCACCCUAUAGUUUAUUAAAAAUUUUUGUUUUGCCAUCCUAAUUCAUAUAAAAUUUUUUAAUAAAAUGAAAAUUGAAUCAUAGGAGAGAUUAGGUGAAACUUUUUGAACCACAUAGGUGAAAAUGAGCAAAACCAUAGGGGGCAAUUUGAGGUUUAUCCAAAAAAGUUAUAAUUCGGGGCACAAUUUUAUUUACUCCUUUAGCAUUUAAAGUGAAAGAUAAAAGGAUCCAUUAUAACGAAGAAAACGGUUAUACUUACAAAUUCCUCUAUUAAUUGAAAAACUCCUUUAAAUUAUUCACUUGGAGGAGAAUAGAUGGCUCUUCAUCUUCUUUAUUACUUGAAGGCCAAUAAACUUGAUGUAUACAUCAUAAGCUUCCUAAUUGAAUUUUAAAAACCUAAAAUUUAAAUCUAAACCAUAUAAUCUACACAAUUAAAUGAUCAAUUUAUAAAAAUUAUAAAUUUAUACACCUAAAUAAUGAGCGUUAGAAGUUAAUAUUGCUUAUUGCAAAGGAUUGAUUGUCAUGCCCGGGCCCCAGCGGAAGCCUACCCGGCACGUGCACAGACCCGCCGUAUACACAAGGAACCCUUCGGUGCACACAAGGCGUCUACAUCAAAACAUUCAAUGGAGAUAACAAGGAAUAAGGUUUUAACAUGGUAACCAGAGCAUAAGUACUAGACUGAGCAAAUAGACUACAACUAGAGGAUAAUAACAACAAGUUAAUACGAUAAAGAGAGCAACUAUCCAAAAUGUACAUCAAGUAUAAUCCAAAAGAAUACAUCUGUCACGCUCCGCGACCGCCAAUUUGGUCGGUUCGGGGACGUCGAUCAGACGCCGAACAGACAGAGCCUCUCCUACCCGCCCAAGGCUAACAACAACGAGAUCAAGUAUGUCAACAGUUGCCUAGGAAACAAUAACCUCAUACAUGAUCUAAGCAAGUACUAAUACAAGCAAUCGACAAAAGAGAGAAAGAUCUAGCUAUUACAAUUCCAUUCAACAUAUACAUCGAGUUUACAUUUUUUGUCACGCCCCGGGGUCCCUUUUAGUUUAUAACAUAGCGGAAAAGCGUCUGAAUUUUUUUUUUUUGAAAAGCUUGACCCCAGAGUAUGCCAGAUCCGCCACAAAUACAGAAAAUCUACUGUUCACACGGACAGUCUCCCCUGUAUUUGCACGGCGUCGCACCAGUACAAGAACUAACCCAGGUACAACCACAACCAAAUGGAUAUAUAAAUAACCAACAAUUAUAUAUUCAUACACCAUUCACAUCACAGGUUCACAUUUAUAUAUUCAAUAUUUAAACAUAAAUCCAUAUCUAUCAGUUAAAAUGUUUCCAACUCAGAAACAGGUUUUGAAAUACUAAGAUACAAAAUCUACAGAAAACCUUUUGAAAACUGUUCCCUACACGGGAACUUUUAUCUUUUAAAAACGCUACCACGAGGGGUAGAAAACCUUUCCAUUUUACAAAAUCCGCAAAUCCGUUUAUUACAUUCAUGAAAACUCAUAUUUUCAAAUGUAAUAAAAUAUACUGAACCAUAUAAACUAUCUAAGCUAUAACGACAUAAUAGUAAGGGUAGAACUAAACCGAAUAACCUGGGUCGGAAGUUCUAUCGACCGCUACGUAUCUCACGUCUCGUCUCAACCCUCACCGCCCGUGGUACCUGAAAAAUAGUGGGGGAGGUGAGAACAUGUAAACAUGUCUCCCCUCCCAGUGGGUACCGCAAGCCGAAGAAGGCGAGGAGUACUCACCGGAUCAGGAAGAGCUAUACAACAACACGGGUCAGUGAAAAUACAAUAGGAACAAUAAUAAACGAAAGAGAUGUAUAAGGUAAUGAGCAGAUAUACUGAAUACAAUAGCAAUAAACUGAAAGAAAGUAGGAACUAAACUGAAUAGCGGCUACCGCUACUAUAACUGGAACAGAAAGCAUACAUGAAUAUCUACUAUAGUAGCAAGACAACUAUAAAGCAAGAAUUGUAAGUAUGCAAGCAACAACUGCUACUAUAGACAUAUGCGUCAACCGAACGUAUAGACCAAAUAUACCCAAUCUGUACUGGCCGUAUUGGUACCCAACACCUCAGGCCCAUGCCACAUCUGCUCUAAACAGAAACAAGCCAUAUUGGUACCCAACACCUCAGGCUGAAAGCAUAUAACCACACUAGGGCUCACGGGUUGACACAAGCAACCACUUUUCCGGAAAAGAACACCCUCUUGCGGUGGAUCAGACCGCUGGUGUUCGUGAAAUGCGAACGAGCUGGGCGAUCAAUGCAGAAUGCUCAAUAGCCAAACGUCAGCAACUAGCCGACAAUCACUGCCCUUCGGGGCUCAUCGACCGUAUAGGUCAUCAACUGUAAGGAAGCACAAGAACUGACCACUCAGAUCAACUAGGAUAUAUGCACAACGAAUCGACGAAUAGGUCAUCAGGGUGUAUCAAUAGAAUCCAGAACUACCGCCGGCCACUAGCCAACAAUCCAACCCCUCUAGGGUACAUCGACCACAACGGUCAUCGAACGACAGAAACAACAAGAGUCAUGAACUGACUGACUAGGUCACAAACAUGUCAAAUAGUGGAUAUGAGUAAACUAUAAUCAUCCGUCGGCAACUAACCGACAAUCUCACCCCUCAGGGUAUACCGACCUCAAUGGUCAUCGGACAACAAAGGUCAAGGAUCUCACCGAAUAGGUCACAAAUACGGAAUACUAGAAUCGACCGACUAGAUCACUGAUCUCACAGAUAAUCACGGAAUCGCUCUACUAUAAACAUAAAACAGGGUAUGCAGAAUAGCUAAGUAGAGCAACAAGAAAACAUGGUAUCACGUACAGAUAGACUAUGCUCCUACACAUGAACUAAGCAUGGAAACGUCUGAGUAGAGUAUAAUCAAACAACGUGGUGUAAUGUGAACAAUAGAGGUGAAAAGCUCAACAUAUAAUAUAUGCAUGGAUAAUAACAAAAGAGCAAGGGUAAGAAACCAUCACCGAGCAUGCACCACUGUACCAACGUCGGAUCGAAGUACCCACCUGUACGUGUCUGACGAAGAUCUCUCGACUGUGAAGACGAAACAAUCGAACCUACGAAAGAUCCAACGGGUUAGAACCUAACCCACUAACAUGUCUCGCUAACACACAAUCCCCACUCACCAGAACCACGAGAAUCGGUUUCCCAAAACCGAUUAACAAACAAGCCGGAAUUCCACUGUCGCUGACCUGUCAUUUUCGAACCCUCGAAACAACGCGUGUGACCAGCCAACAAGGCUCAGCGACGCUACAAUCAACCACGAGGCACCGUCGGAUGAAUUCCGAACCGAAACAGCGUUCUAUCGGCGGAUUUCGCCGAAAAACGCAUCAGAAAUCACUUUUCGAUUUCCGCAAGGGCUAGGGGCCUUGGAUGAUUAGUCCAGAGGUUAUCCUCAGCCCAAACAUGCUGCCAACAGCAGCUACAUCGAAGCAUAAAUCCUAAAGGCCCAUACUAUAGCCUGAAAUCUCAUUAUUUUAUGCGAUUUAUAGACUUUUCUGGAUCGUGCACGCAAACCAGAGAUUGAUUAAGCCAAUCAUCGCGCUCACUGAUAGGUUUCAGCAUGACGGAGGCCGUGCUUACCUUUCGGAGCACUGCCGGCAGCUGCGCUGCACACACGAGCGAUGCAAAUUCUAUGAAACAGUGCGCACAGCGCGAGGAUUGCUGUUAACUCGCUAACUAAGGCAUCGUUGCUGCUGUCGGAGGUGAGCACGAUGUUCAACACGAGUUGUAGAUCAUCGUGCUCACUUCCCGAAGCUUAGGAGGCUUGUCGGAUCACCGGAAAGGUGACCGGAACGUCGGAAUUCACUACUGGAACAUAAAUAGCCCUUACCAGACCCGAGGAGAGCUAAGGUUGGUCGCCGGCGGCUGGGAGGAGGGUGGUUCGGCCGAAGGAGGGAGCAGUCAGUCCGAGAGGUCCGGGGAAGGUUGUAACACACUGGACCUUUGCAAAUUGCGAGGUUCGAGCGUUUGAUUUGUGUGUCGAGCUUUUCCAGACUUUCUGGUAGGUCGUUGACAGUGUUCCGACCUAUGGUUCGAGUCCCGAGAAUUGUGGUUUAAAGCUGUGUACCAAAAUCCAAAAAGUUGGAUUUUUGGUCAGCUNAUUUAGUGGAUUUACAGCUUUUCCUCAUCCUUUGUUGUAGCAUUUAGACAUUUAUUAUGCUCUGAUACUCCUAGAUGUCUUUUAUUAUUGCUUUUAUUAUCGUUGUUUUUAGACGCCUUAUAUGUUGAAGACAUAUGGCGGGUCUGGGCACGCGCCGGGCGGGCUUCCGCUGGGUCCCGGGGCGUGACAAAGGUGCUGGCCGGCGGCGGGCGGCAACCGGUGGCGCGGCGGCUGAGAUCCACUCCACCCACUACCUCUCGGGUUCGUGCUUCCCGGUGACGCGACGGCGGCCGGAGGAGGUCGGGGCGGCUACGGUGCGGCGCCGGAGGCCGAGGGGAAGGUGGUGUACUCCCCAGUGGGCGGCGGCGGCACUUGGAUGCCGAGCGGGCCCGACCUUGGCCCGCACGGGUCUGGGUGGCUGCAGGAGAUCUCAGCGGCGGUCGGCGGCGCGCGGGAACGGCGGGGGACGCGCGCGACGGGUUUUCGGAGGUCGCUGGGGCCGACUCGAGGGCGGUGUGGCCGAUGGGGAGUGACGGCGGCGCGCGGAUACAGAGAUCACCCAGGCUCGGCCUGGGUGACUGCAGGUGGCCGCAGCAUGCUUGGGCGGCGCCGGCGGCGUGCGCAGGCGGUGGGAACGGCCGGUGACGGCGCCGGAAGGUAGAUCUCGGCCAAGGGAAGGCUUCCAAAGGUGUUUUGAAGUUUCUCUGGGUUGCAUGGCCAAGGAGGGUGGAGAAUAGGUAAAGAAGUGAUGGAGGAGGGGUUUUCCGGCGGCCGGAGCACCUGCCGGCGGCUGGGGCACGCGCACGAGGUGGGCAGGGGAGAGCUGAGGCGGCUGGGGUUCGGUUGAGGAAGAGGGAGGCCAAAAGCUAGGGUUUCCUCAUGAAACCCUAGUGCAACCACUAUAUACAUAUGUGCAUUUUGCAAGAUAGUCCUCCCAGGGGUAAUAUUCUCAGUCAAGUCCCUCACAGCACACGUAUUUUACACAUACGCAUCUCUAUGUCCGAUCUCACGCGAUUCGGCACAUAAAAUAUAAGGGUUUCGCGCGAAAUACCAAAAAUGCCGCUUUGACCUCUUAGCGAAAACUUUGUGAUUCCCGAAGAUCCGUCUGUCAGAUUUUCGAACGGAUUGCGCCAGCGCGAUCAGCACCACGGAGACAAUAAACCUACGAUUUUGGUUCACAUCGAUCGGUCACGGAUUCGCGACGAAACCCGUCUGCUCUCCAAUUUCCAAAAACCACACACAUAUACCAAUGUGUAAUCCCACUAAAUCCUAGAUUCAAAUUCAAAUUUGAAUUCCCUACCACCAGUAGGUACCAAGAACAUCUCUCACCCAUCUCCAGAUCACUUGUACAAAGCACGAGGAGUUUUAAAAUGCACGAAAAGCAAAGAAUGAAAACCCUAUGCACGAAAAGCAAAGAACGAAAACCCUCUUUUUGAUAAAACUCCUUUUUCUCAAAACCCGUGCAUCAGAUCUGAAAUCCGUUAAUGCCAUUGGUUCCAGAAUAGCUGAACCAAUCAAAACGGGCUAUUGGAUCGCUAUGAACGGAGUCCGAUACGCGUCGAAAGCCAACUCUACUCCGUGGCUUCUCCGGAAAACCGGAGUUACUAUUCACUUAAGUGAAAACUAAUAAUCGUGUAACUUCUCCGUUCUAACUCGUUUUCUCCUGAAACUUGACGAGUGCUUAUGUAAUUAAAUUACACACAUAAACAUCGUCAACAGAAAGUUUAGUUGCACUGUCAAAAUCUCAGUCCUUACAUUUUUCAUCUCGAAAAUGUAUACAUGUUUAUCACAACUCUCUAAAAUACAUAUACAUCAUGUCCUCUCAUCUAUACAGGGUGUACUAAUGCAUAAGGAAAGCUGCUAGCUAACUAGGGUGCUAUGCCCUUACCCCGGUCCUCGCCCGGUCUGCUCGAACUCGGCCCUGCAACCAAAGUGGGGUGAGAACUACGAAUAGUUACCAGUGGGUUCGGCCGCCGACUCCGCCGAUCUUCCCACUAGGUCUAAGCAGGCAUUAGUAGAUAGAUAAAUAGAUAUGAAAAUGAGCUGCUACAUAACAACAUGCUACUAUGCCUCAAUAAACAGAAUGAAUACAUGAACAUAGUAAUGUACUCUACUAACAUAAUACUAUGUCUCAAUUGCAUGAUAUAAAUGAAAUAACUACAUAGUAAUGAAACCUACUAUCAAGUACUAUGUCUAAUGUCCAAUCUCAUCUUGGCUAACCAAAAGGUUAUGCCCAAACUCACAUCUCAAAUCUCGCCGGUGAGUAGACUCUGCGCUACAAACACCCGAGACCGCCUGCUGGGUAAUCGUGUUACCCAAACGCGACAUCUUCUCCGGAGCUCACUACUUGAGGUGGAGCGACCACGCCAAAGUUACACAGACUAUGUGAGUACGAUUCAAUCCUCUCACUCGAGGAUAGUUAGUGCCUCUGUUUCACUAGUUCACAUACUACUACUUAGGAAAUCAUCUUAUUUCCUCAGUUCAUGUCAUCAAGUUGUAAGUAUUCCAACUACACUAGUCCAAAUGCCACUCUUUGGUUCACAUGCUACUACUCAGAAAAUCAUCAUCUAUUCCUAAGUUCAUGUCAUAGUGUUUCUACUACACUAGUCCGAAUGCCACUCUUUCAGUUCAUUUACAUGUCCAAGUUCAUCUUUUGUUCUUUGGCACUAUAGGAUUCUAUGUCAAGACUAAAUCCUCAUGUGUCCACUAAAUCAAGUGCUCAACUCACUACAUGAUUUCUACUAUGAAAACAUGCAAGGAAUUGAAGUACAACUACUUAACACAACCUAUAAUCUCCACUAAGUCCUCUUCUUAGAUCAACCCCUUGGGAGAGCUUCUAGAGAGAGAAAGGGAGAAAAAAAAAGAGAAGAUAAGUGUUUACUGGCUGUGAACAUAAGAGAGGGAGAUAGGGUUUAUUUAUAAGCUGCUAGAAUUGCAGAAAAGCCCCUCAAUAAUUGCUAUUUGCAACAUACUGCAUUCUGCAUUUUUCUGCACUUGGUACCGGUACGCGGGUUUUUUGUCACCGGUUUAACAGCUGUGCAGAGGCCAAGCCCGAGAGCUGCCUUCUCGGGUAGCUGGUCUGGUACCGGUACGCAUCAGAGGUGUCACCGGUUUAAUAGCCACAAUUACUCAAACCCGAGAGCUGCUACUCUCGGUCUGCUACGGGGUACCGGUACCACCAUGAUGUUUAACCGGUUACACAAUGCCCAGACUGCAGUUUAGCACUUGUUUGACUUCUAUUUCGCGCCGAGCAAUGCUAAAACUCAAUUAUCUCUUCUAGAACUCAACUUUGACCCUCCAACAUUAUUGAAAUGUCAAAUGGAACAUGUCCAAGCAUCUCUCUCGCCACGCUUUGGCCCUUUUGACCAAAAAUGGUUUAAUACGUCGGAGAAUCAAUAUCUGACAUCAUCCCCUCCUUAACAAGAGUUUCGUCUUAGAAACUAACUCAAUUCAAAUAAAAUUCAUACCUCAACUCAACUCCUCGAAGAGAUGAGGAUAGUGCUCCUUCAUUACGUCCUCAAGUUCCCACUUGACUUCGCGAUCGUCAUGAUUGCUCCACAGAACUUUGACGUAAGGAAUAUCGCGGUUUCUCAACUUCCGCACUUCUCGAGCAAGAAUAGCUACCGGAAACUCCUCAUAGCUCAUAUCCUCUUGUAAUUCCGGUGGCUCAAACAAUAGAGCAUGCUCGGGAUCAUGAAUAUACUUGCGAAGGUUGGAGACGUGAAACACGUUAUGAACAUCCGCAAGCUUCGGCGGCAAUGCGAGUCGGUAUGCAACCGCUCCAAUUCGCUCUAACACCUCGAAAGGUCCAAUGUACCGGGGACUUAACUUUUCCCGCACUCCAAAUCGUCUCACACCUCUCAUAGGUGAAACCUUUAAGAAGACGCGGUCUCUAACCGCGAACUCCAAAUCUCGCCGGCGCUUAUUGCAUAGCUCUUUUGCCUCGAUUGCGCUGUCAACAACCGUCGGCGAGUGAGGUGAACUUUUUUUCUGCUUUCCGCAAGACAUCGGGACCCAAUACCGCCCAUUUGCCCAUGUCACUCCAAUGUAUAGGAGAUCGGCACUUCCUCCCGUAGAGAGCCUCAAACGGUGCCAUCUCUAUACUAGCUUGGUAACUGUUGUUUUAGGUGAACUCGGCCAUUGGCAAGUGACUACACCAACUACCCUUGUAGUUAAUGACACACGCUCGCAAUAUAUCCUCCAAAACCUAGAUGGUCCUCUCUGAUUGCCCGUCGGUUUGAGGAUGAAAAGCGGUGCUAAACUUGAGUCGUGUGCAAAGUGCUUCCUUCAAGCUUUUCCAAAAGUGUGAAGUAAACCGAGGGUCUCGAUCCGACACGAUCGACUUCGAAACCCUGUGCAACCUCACCACUUCAUCAAGAUAUACCUGAGCAAGCUUGUCCCCUGACCAAGUAGUGUGGAUCGGUAGAAAAUGUGCCGACUUCAACAAACGGUCCACCACUACCCAAAUCGCAUCGUGGCCACCCGACGAACGGGGCAAUCCGACCACGAAGUCCAUAGCAACAUCCUCCCAUUUCCAAACGGGAAUAGGUAGACUCUGAAGCUUUUCCAUUGGAAACCGGCGCUUUGCCUUGACUUGUUGGCAAACAAGACAUUGCGCCACAUAGCGUCCAAUGUCAGCUUUCAUUCCCGGCCACCAAUAGAGCAACCUCAAGUCCUGAUACAUCUUGGUGUCGCCCGGGUGGACACUAUAGGGAGACUGAUGCGCUUCCUGCAAAACCAACCUUCGGACUUCUUCAUUUUCCGGCACGCACUACCGGUUCCGGUAUCGAAGCGCACCAUCGGUAUGAAUGUUGAAAUCUCCACUACGCCCACCAUCGAUGUCGCGUCGCGCCUUUUGGAGAUUCGGGUACGCAGAUUGCAAACCCUUGAUCUUCUCCAACAAGGUCAGUUGGACAACGAGAGCCGUAAGCAUAGACGGAACUUCCGGAGCCACAACCUCAAGAUCCAUUCGCCCCAUUUCUUUCCACAAGGGCACUUGAUUCGUGAUCAACAACGCGAGGUUCUCCGUCGAUUUCCUGCUAAGUGCAUCCGCUACCACAUUGGCUUUUCCGGGUUGGUAAAGGAUAGUAACAUCAUAAUCCUUUAAUAGUUCCAACACCGCCGCUGCCUCAUAUUAAGCUCUUUCUGCAUGAACAAGUACUUUAGACUUUUGUGGUCUGUAUAUAUCUCGCAAUGUGCACCGUAUAAGUAGUGCCUCCACAGCUUCAAAGAAAAGAUAACUGCGGGCAACUCUAAAUCAUGGAUAGGGUAGUUCUUUUCGUAGCUUUUCAACUAACGGGACGCAGAAGCGAUCACCUUCCCACCCUGCAUUAGAACACACCCCAAACCCAGAUAUAAUGCAUCACUCUAAACCACAAAGUCCUCACCUUGCACCGGUAGGGCGAGCACCGGAGUCGAAGUCAAUUUAUCCUUCAACUCUUUAAAACUCUAGUCGCACUCGUCGCUCCAAAUGAACUUGGUGCCCUUUUGCUUCAGACGGGUAAGUGGAAUAACUAUCUUCGAGAAUCCCUCCACGAACCGUCAAUAAUAGCCCGCUAAACCCAUGAAGCUACGAACCUCCGUCACAUUAGUCGUGCGAGGCCAAUCCUUGAUCGCCUCAACUUUUCUCGGGUCAACAGAAACUCCACCCUCAGAAAUAACAUGUCCUAGAAAUGCGACUUCACUGAGCCAAAAAUCGCACUUUUUUAACCUCGCAUAAAGCUUCUCCUCCCGAAGGACUUGUAGCACAAGCCUCAAAUGCUCCGCGUGCUCCUCGUCACUACGACAGUAGAACAAGAUGUCGUCUAUGAAGACCACGACAAAUCGAUCUAAAUAAGUCCUGAAUACACAGUUCAUCAAAUCCAUGAAUGCUGCCGGGGCAUUUGUGAGCCCAAACGGCAUGACCGUGAACUCGUAAUGUCCAUACUGCGUACGAAACGCGGUCUUUUGCACAUCCUCCGGCUUUAUCUUCAACUGAUGGUAGCCAGAUUGGAGAUCUAUCUUCGAGUAUACUCACGACCCCUGCAGCUGAUCAAACAAUUCGUCGAUACGGGGUAACAGGUACUUGUUCUUGAUAGUGACCUUGUUCAACUCGCGGUAAUCCACGCAGAGUCGAAACGAGCCAUGCUUCUUCCGCACAAAUAAAAUCGGGGCUCCCCACGGCGAUACACUCGGCCUGAUAAAUUCAUUGUCGAAGAGAUCUUGCAACUGAGCCCUCAACUCCUUCAAUUCUACCGGUGCCAUACGGUAUGGAGCCUUUGAUAUCGGCACGGUCCCGGGAGCCAAGUCUAUAAUGAACUCGAUUUCCUGAUCCGGCGGUAUCCCCGGUAACUCCACGGGAAACACAUCCGGAAACUCCCGGACCACCGACAUACACUCAAGUGCUGGAGUCUCCCGAUCAACCUCCACAACGGUCGCCAAAUAAGCCUCGCAACCGCUGCUAACCAGCUUCCUCGCCCUAGAUGCCGACACCGUCAUGCGAGCUCUGGCAAGCUCGAUAAGUAAACUCCUUCUGUUCUGGCUCACGAAAGAUAAUAACCCUGCUCUUGCAGUCGAUAAAUGCAUAGUACUUCGAGAGCCAGUCCAUACCCAGUAUCAGAUCGAAAUCUUUCAACCUCUUGAGCACCAACAAACGUGUCAGCAUAAUCUAGUUGCCCACUUGAACCGGACACGCCAAACACUCCUUUCGGAUAAUAAACGCGCGCUCGAGGGCGUCAACCCGCCAAGUACUUUUGCUCAGUUGAACCUCUAUGCCAUGCAUAUCAGCAAAUGGUCUACUGAUGAAUGAAUGCGUAGCACCUGUAUCAAACAUAGCUCUGGAGCGAACUCCAUUAACUAAAACCAUACCUGCCACGUCGUUGCGCUCCUCGGCCUCAGCAGGUUCCUUGGCUUGAGCGGCGAAUACCUGUCCGCUCGGAGUCGAUCUAGUCGCCUCAGAUUGACUAGCGCUAUAGCGCGUCUAGCAGAUACAGCAGUAGGUGGAGCUCCUCUAUAAUAGCCCGGAGUCGCCGGAGCUGAUGCAAUCGAUGGGGCAGGCGAGGUCCUCCUUGGACAGUAACGACUCAUGUGUCCCGGCUGGCCAGAAGUGUAGCAUCUCCCCUCCUUCUACUUGCAAUGGUUCGGGUCAUGAUCACCGCCACAAAUGACGCACCGCCGAGACCCACGACCUUUGGACUGUGUUCGCGGGUACUUCGGGGGCUUCCUUGUCCUUGACUGACCACCCGAACUAUCAGGGGCUCGCUUCUUACCCCCGUCCUUCUCGGACACCUCUCGCUCCUCAUGAAUGUGGGCAUUACCAUGCUCCGCCCACAACGCCCAAUCCAACACCUCUGAAAAGAUAGUAAGCUUGAGGAUGUGAACCGCCCUAUAGAUAUCCGGGCGGAGUCCUCACUCGAACUAGUCGGCUCGGUCCCUAUCGUCCCACACCACGUCGGGGAUGCAGUCGAUGAUGUGUGAGAACUCCCGCUCAUACUCUCCUACUGAGCGGUUACCGUGCCUCAGCUUCCUGAACUAAUCCUGGAGCUUCCUUUUCUCGCUAUCGGGAAAGUAGUUAGUGAACAACAACCCCCGAACUCCUCCCACGUCAACGGUGGAAGGUCGGAAGACUGAUCCCGCUUGAUCCGCUUCUGCCACACCUUCGCCGUCCGCUCUAAACAAUGAGUGGCGAGGUGUACCUUAUCCCUCUCCAACGUACAAAAAUCAUCGAACAGGGUCUCUAUCGAGUCAACCCACAACUCGACCAUCCACGGCUCGACCUUCUCUCGGUCGAACACUCGUGGAUCAAAUUUUCGGAACAUCACAAGAGCUGCAAGCGCGCGCUCCUUCUCCGCCGCUAUCACCGUACCUUCAGGAUUAGAAGUUCCUGAACCAGUAGCUACUACCGCCAUUGCGGCCCGUGCUGCAACCGGCAUAGCCGCUGUGGCCAUACCCUCUGUCGCACCAGGCACAACGACAGAGGGCGCGGGUCGUUCGACAUCCGCCUGAGCUGACACCUGUUGCGCCACCAAUUUCUGUAGCCUAGCGAUCUGAUCCUCUUGGUGCUGCAUUGCACCAGCCAUCGUAGAGAUCUGUGCUCGAAGUUCCCGCACUUCAUCAGAUCCCGACUGUUCGGGAACCUCGGGAGGUGGUGCCGGAAUGGAUCGCGUCUUAGGGCAUCCUCUCGGUGCCAUAGCUCCUGAAACGCAACAAAUUGGUUAAUCACAUUAACCCGUUAACUUCUCGCAAUUACGAGGCAAACGACUCAACAUCAAAAUCGGGCGGAAGCACACAAGUGUACUCAUUCUAGACUCUUAGCAUCAUGUUAUCGGCCGCCAAUACAACCACCUCGAGCCAAGAACUAAUACCACUUGAAUCCGUCUCUAUCAACAACUAGAGACAUACAACAACAACUUCGACCCAAUCGAAUCAACUUCCACCACCCGGCAUAGGUUCACGUCACACUCACGCACCUAUAGCCUUAAGGUUACCGUCCUAGGGUCUCCUAGGUCCAUCCUAGACUUCUCUCUUUGCUUGCUUGCUCUGUUACUUGCUUUGAUACCACUUUAUUUGUCAUGCCUUGCAACCGCCAAUUUGGUCGAUUCGUGUACGUCGAUCAGACGCCGAACGGACAGAGCCUCCCCUGCCCGCCCAAGACUAACAACAACGAGAUCAAGUAUGUCAACAGUUGCCCAGGAAACAAUAACCUCAUACAUGAUCUAAGCAAGUACUAAUACAAGCAAUCGUUAAAAGAGAGAAAGAUCUAGCUAUUACAAUUCCAUUCAACAUAUACAUCGAGUUUAUAUUUUUUCCAUUCAACAUAUACAUCGAGUUUAUAUUUUUCAUCUCCAAAAUGUAUACAUGUUCAUCCACAACUCCCCAAAAUACAUAUACAUCAUGUCCUCUCAUCUAUCCAGGGUGUACUAAUGCAUAAAGAAAGCUGCUAACUAACUAGGGCGCUAUGCCCUUACCCCGGUCCUCGCCCGGUCCGCUCGAACUUGGCCCUGCAACCAAAGCGGGGUGAGAACUACGAAUAGUUCCCAGUGGGUUCGGCCGCCGACUCCGCCGAUCUUCCCACUAGGUCUAAUCAGGCAUAAGUAGAUAGAUAGAUAGAUAUGAAAAUGAGCUGCUAUAUAGUAAUAAAACCUACAACAUGCUACUAUGCCUCAAUAAACAGAAUGAAUGCAUGAACAUAGUAAUUAAUGUACUCUACUAACAUAAUACUAUGUCUCAAUCUGUAUGAUAUAAAGGAAAUGACUACAUAGUAAUGAAACCUAUUAUCAAGUACUAUGUCUAAUGUCCAAUCUCAUCGGCUAACCAAAAGGUUAUGCCCAAACUCACAUCUCAAAUCUCGCCGGUGAGUAGACACUGCGCUACAAACACCCGAGACCGCCUGCUGGGUACUCGUGUUACCCAAACGCGACAUCUACUCCGGAGCUCACUACUUGGGGUGGAGCGACCACGCCAAGGUUACACAGACUAUGUGAGUACGAUCCAAUCUGUUGCACUAGUUCACAUGCUACUACUUAGGAAAUCAUCUUAUUUCCUAAGUUCAUGUCAUCAAGUUGUAAGUGUUCCAACUACACUAGUCCAAAUGCCACUCUUUGGUUCACAUGCUACUACUUAGGAAAUCAUCAUCUAUUCCUAAGUUCAUGCCAUAGUGUUUCUACUACACUAGUCCAAAUGCCACUCUUUGAGUUCAUUUACAUGUCCAAGUUCAUCUUUUGUUCUUUGGCACUAUAGGAUUCCAUGUCAAGACUAAAUCCUCAUGUGUCCACUAAAUCAAGUACUCAACUCACUAUAUGAUUUCUACUAUGGAAACAUGCAAGGAAUUAAAGUACAACUACUUAACACAACCUAUAAUGCAUGAUAACAAUAUAUAUGAACAUAUGCUAUAAUAAAACAACUCAGACAUAGAAGGAAGUUCAACUGCUUCGGGAUGGACACCCCAUUUUCUGGUGAUGCCACGAAGCUAGACUCCGACUUUCGCAAUUUUCCACCGCCUAUCUCUCUCGACUGCGUCAAACGAAGCCAAAAUAGGCUUUUCUUUAAUAUCUUUGCGCCGACUCGUCGGAUUGUCGAAUCGAGUUCACCAACGCGUUCGAUUACUUAGCAGAGAGGUAUAAAUGAGAUCAAUCCCAACUUUGGAUCUCAACUUAACAAAACCCUUUUUCCGAACCCUAGAUGUUCAACUUUGCAAGAAUACGCCACAAUGACCGUCGAUUCAAGCAAAUAACAUCUAUUUAGCAUCAAAGGGUCCUACUAAAACCAAUUCUAGAGUCUAAGAAGCUAACCCUAGAAAUCUACCAUUAAAGCUCCCAGAGCUUACCUCUUCACAACUCCUCCAAGUCAAGGAAGAAGAAGAAGAAAACAAAGAUCCACUUCCAAGCUUUAAUCUCCACCAAGUCCUCUUCUUAGAUUAACCCCUUGGGAGAGCUUCUGGAGAGAGAAAGGGAGAAAAAAAAUGAGAAGAUAAGUGUUCACUGGUUGUGAACAUAAGAGAGGGAGAUGGGGUCCAUUUAUAGGCUGCCACAAUUGCAGAAAAGCCCCUCAACAAUUGCUAUUUGCAACAUACUGCAUUCUGCAGUUUUCUGCACUUGGUACCGAUACGCGGGUCUUUUGUCACGGGAUUAAUAGCUGCGCAGAGGCCAAACUCGAGAGCUGCCUUCUCGGGUAGUUGGUCUGGUACUGGUACGCAUUAGGGGUGUCACCGAUUUAACAGCCAAAAUUAUUCAAAUCCGAGAGCUACUACUUUCAGUCUGCUACGAGGUACCGGUACCACCCUGAUGUUUAACCGGUUACACAAUGCCCAGACUGCAGUUUAUGUCAGACCCCAGAUAGUCCUAUAUAUGAGAUAUAAUAGGGCUAAACUCUUAACCCGGAGUUAAGCGUGCUAGGACGGGAGUAGUCCUAGGAUGGGUGACCCCCUGGGAAGUCGGGGCGUCACAGUUUAGCACUUGUUCGACUUCUAUUUUGCGCCGAGCAAUGCUAAAACUCAAUUAUCUCUUCUAGAACUCAACUUUGACCCCUCCAAAAAUGUCAAAUGGAACAUUCCAAGCAUCUUUCUUGCCACGCUUUGAUCCUUUUAACCAAAAGUGGUUUAAUACGUCGGGUGUAAGGAAGUGAAUUCUCGAAAUCCGAGAGUUCGACUUCGUCCAGGAUCGAUUAACUAUCGAAUGAGCACCCUUCGGGAAGGCUAAAGAUAUCCAAAACACAAAAAGUGCAUUGGAGUUGAGUCCGAGAGAGCAUAUAGUGCAAAACCUGUACUGGGCUGAAGUUGCUCUCGGGGACCGGUUCCUGGCAGGGAGAGACCGGUCCCUGAGGCUGGUGGUUGCUGGGGAUCUUUGAUGCAACCGGUCCCAGGCUGAGGGGACCGGUCCCCGUGUGCGACGCUAGCGAGAAAAGCCAAAAUUUGGCUAAGUCCCGAAAAUCCAGCUCUCGGGAACCGGUCUCUCAGAUAGGAACCGGUCUCCCGAGGACCGGUCUCUCAGGGAGAGACCGGUUCCCGAACACGUGAUAUCUGGGGAGACUCUUGGGGACCGGUCCCAGGUCGGGGAGGCCGGUCCCUCUUGGCAAAAACUGCCCAGUAAAGGCAGUGCACAGGAUGGAAAGUGGAGGGGCUUUUAUGCAAAAUGGCAUUAAUUAGAGAGUAUAGAGAGAGAGAGAGCUCUCUCCCUCUCUCAUUUUCACCCUCCUUCACACUCUCUCUUUCACUCAUCUCUCUUUCUCUCUUUAAAAGGAAACGAAGGAGAAGGAAAAAGAGGAGAAGAAGAGGAAGAAGAAGAAGAAGAGAAGAAAGGAGAAGAAGAAGGCGAUCAAAGAGGAGCUUUGGACAUCUCCCUCUCCCUCUCCCUCUCCUCUUCUCUUUGGAGUUAGCACAAGAGGUAAGCCCUAACCCUAGCUUUUGGAAACUUAGGGUUUUGGGUUUUGAGUUUUGGAGAGGAGGUCAAAUGGACCUCUUGCACCAUUGUUGGUGGAUUAGAGCUAGAGCUAGGGUUCCAAAUUGCAAAUGGCAAGAUGUGAACCCUAGGGCUCCAAAAUGGAGUUUUUGGUAAAGUAUGAGAUUGAUCUCACUUGAGGCCUUGUAAACCUAAUUGUUAGGUGUUUAAACACAGGGGCGAAGUCGGAAUUUCGAUUCGUCGAGCGGGAGAAAAGCUAUCGGCAAAAUAAGACCGAUUGAGCAUUGUUUUGGACCAAGGAAGUCGAGACCUUGUUGUAACGUUCGGCGAGAGGCAUUUCUAGAACCUCUACAAUGAGAAAAGAUGGGGGGUGCCAUCCCGAAGCCAUCGAACUCCUUUCUAUGUCUUAGAAUUUCAUAUGAUGACAUCUCUUGCAUGUUGCAUUGUAGGAUUGCAUAGUAGUGUCAUUCCUUAUGCUUUCUAAUUGAUAACCUAGUGUACAUGGAACGCUUGGUGACUUAGAUAGGUGAGGAUUGGGUCGGAACAUGGAUCCUAUAGUGCUAGAGAAAAGAGAUGAAUACGAUGGGUGUUUGGUGACAUAGAAAGUAACAUCUAAUGUUUAAAGAACAAACGGGUGGCAUCUAUGUUUAAAGAACAAACGAGUGGCAUUAAUGUAGUGUACUUGACACUAGAGGUUCUUUGUGAACUCAGGGAUAGAUGGACUCCCUAGUAAAUGACUCAUGAACAUCGAACUUAGUAAAGCUAAGUAGCUAUGCAUGAUGGUCGGAAUAGACGAGUUCCGCGAGAUGUUGACCCUAGUUCUUAGGGUGUCCUCACUUGGAGAGGAUAGAUCUAGCUCACAGUCUGUUAUUCGGGAUGGUAUAGCCAUCCAUAUCCUCAAAUGGAGAGGAUUGUCGUCGAGUACUCCGGAGUGUCGGAUGAUUAGGACCACAUGGAGGUCCGCAGACGGUCCUGGGUUUGGGGGCACAUGGAGCUCCCCACCCAAUGGGAUGGAAAAAGGUGAGUUACGGGCGAACCCAAGGGUUUCGCCACAGAUUGGGUAAAUGAACAGUUAACAAUGUCAUUGAACAUUAUUAUUCGAACAUGGAUCGAACUUGUUAGCAUGGUAGUAAACCUUUACUAUAUGAUGCAUGCAUUCAUUAUACAUGAUUAUGGGCAUAGUAGCAUAGUUUUCCUUUAUGCCUUUACAGCUUUCAGAUAUUUAUCUAUAUAUCUGUCUACUUGUUGUUACUUGUGCCCACUUGGACCUAGUGGGGAGACCGGCGGAGUCCGCGGUCGAGCCCACUAGGAACUACAGAAGAUAGUUCUCACCCCACUCUAUUUCCAGUGGUAGGUACAGGUCUACCGAGCGAGGACCGUGGCAAGGGCAUCGCGCCCGAUUAGUGAGACCGUGGUAGUAUAGUAGUUUUCCUUUUUGCAUUAGCACACCUAUGUAUUGAGAGAGAUUCAUGUAGGUGAGGUUGGGGAUCUAUGUAUUUUGAUGAACAAAUGUAUUCAUUUUGGGAAAAAGAUGUACAUGUAAAAAAAGAUGCAAAACUAUUAUAAUAGUUAGUAAAGUACUCUCUUUAUUUCACUUAUUUUUACUUGUGGAUUGCUUGCUCUUAGUUGUUGGCACUGUUUGUGCCCCGUCGAAUGUGUAUGUUUAGAAUCUGAAUUCCUGGGUAAAUUCUUGUACACAUUCUUAUUGUUGAGCCUUGGGCGGAUAGGGGAGGUGCUGUCCGUUCGGCGGUCUGCCGGGCGCGCCCGUAUCAUGCCAAAUUAGUAGUAGUUUCGGGGCGGGGGCGUGACAUCGGGGAAUCAAUAUCUUACAACAUCAUAGGUCCAUAUGGUGGUCUCUAUACAAAAAGGGUCGCAACACCUAUCCCAACUAAAACAAAAAGAAAGGUGUCCAUCUGUGAAUAUAUCUCCUAAUGAUUUAGCUAGUCGCAACUCCCUUGCCACGAUCCCGAGCCUCACCUGUUGCGGAAGGCUCUGAAACAAAAGCAACAAAUACAUGGGGGUGAGAAUUAUUAAACAAUAGUUCCCAGUGGGUAAGCCGCCGAGAAACACGAAUUACACCACUAGGCCAACUAAGGCAAAAGUAGGGAUACUAAUAUUAUAGCAUGAUUACUUGCAAGAAUUAAAGGAAUUCAUAUGCCUCCAAAUAACAAUGUUAUUUAACAUGUAUGAAACUAUUCUAUCACAUGAAUGAGCAUAAAAGUGACUAAUGUAUAUGUCCAAAUGUCAUAGACUAUCUAGUAGUGAAGUCUACAUUAAGUUUGAUUAUAGUUAUCCAAAUCAACAAGGAGUUACACAAGGUAAAGUCCUAGCUUGCGCCAUGCCUAAUGGCUCCGUGGUAGUCAUCAUUCCCACGCUAGGAAUGAGCCUCGGUCACGGCAAUCCACUUCGGCUCCCAAUCCCGCACGUGCGAGCAUGAUGUCGCAUAAGCCAACUCCGGAGUGCCGGCUUGUAGGGAGCGACCCUCACAAGAUUUUGCGAAUGAGCACAAUGGUAAGCAAGCAUGAUCAACAAUAUAGGGAUCUUGUUUAUCAUGUGUAAAAUAUGGAAUAUCAACUAGCGAUCGAAAGAUCGAAUACUAUGUCACCAUGUCAAGUUCUAGUUAUUCAACUACGUUAAGUACAACAUGCUUAGUUUCAUGUUUUGUCACUACCGUGCAUUAUGUCAUAUUUACCUUGUCUAUAACAAGUAUAUUAGUUAUCAAGCAAGCUAACCCUUUUUUGUUCCAUUCACUAUGUAUAAUUCAUAGGAUAAACCAUCAUUCAUCUCUAACAUGCUUUCUAGUAUUGCAUAAGAGGAAAUCACCAUAAUAUAUUAUUUGAUGCACAUGUCCACAUUGUAAGUCUUUACUACAUAGAGUAUAAAAUUUUCUAUACAUAACAUGUAUGAAGCAUGUGUUCAGAAAUUUUCUUAUGUCAUAUCUAGCAUGAAUAUGCAUCUAAUUAGGUCUAAAAAUAAUGUUGGAGACAUAGAAGAGUUCACCCAUUUCGGUGAGGUCAAACCCACCGGAUACUCUUCGAACCCUUUCGUUCCUUCGAACGAAGUUGUCCACCAAGCUUCUAGCACCCUAAGAGAAUUUCUAAGAGGGUUACAAACUUCUAACAAACCUCCUACAAAAAUAACCAAAAAUCAAGUCUAAAAUAGCUGAAAAAAAUCUUUACCCAAGAAGAACUUGUCCAAAGUCUAAAUCGAAGCUAUAUAGCUUCAAAUCCAACCGAGAAGAGAGUUAUACACUUAUCAAUUUGACCCCAAAGGUUUAAAAUCAACAAUCCCCAAAAUAAACCCUGGUUUUUUCAAAACUAGGUCUUUAUCCACAAAUCUUACAAAAUCUACAAGUAAAUGUUGCAAGAAGAGUACUAAUCUUAAAGAAAGCUCUAACCCAAGCUAGAGUUGGGGUUAGAUCCUCAAACAAGCUCUCUUCUUCACUUCCAAGCCUCCUUCAAGAAUCAAGUAGCUAGCCACCAUGCAAAGGAAGAAGAAAAAAGAUCAAAAUCCAAAUCUAAAAGAGUUUGGGGAAGAAAUCCUAGAGAGAGAAAGGGAGAAAAACCUACCUCCACCUUUCUCAAGCCUAAGCACAAAGGGAGGCAUGUGGGGGAAAGGGGGAGUCAUAUACAUGAUGUAACAAUUCCCUUAAGACCCCACAAAAAUUCAAAAAUUACAAACUGCGCGAACUGUAGUUUUCUUCAUUGAGUAUCGGUACUCGAACGGGAGUACCGCUACCCGACCCUCAGGCAGGCAGAACCCGAGCGCAAGACAUUCGGGUUUAAUACGGUGUACUGGUAUUCGCGCGAUGCAGUACCAGUACCCAGCCCCAGUACCGGUACUCAACACCCCAAAUCUCAAACCCGAGAACAACUUAUUUCAGCACUCUACAGGGCACCGGUACCAACCUCUAGUACCGGUACUCAACACUGAAAUUUGCACCUUGCAGAUUUUGAUGUCAAGAGCCCAUUUUCGUGCCUAAUAAGCUCCAGAAAUAGGCAGAAACCAUACAGACAACCCUCAAAACAUCCAUAAUAGUUUAAAAUUCUAUUCUUAUACUAGAACCUUACAAUUUGCUAAAGUUCAGUGUACUAUAUUGAUGCAUAAGAAUUAUAUUUUUAAAAUUAUAAUUUUAUAGAGAUUGUAUACAAAUUUGUAUAAAGACCUCCUAUAUGUUUGAGAUUAUUUCUGUUAAACUAAAUUUUAAGAAUAUCAAAUUUUAUAUGCACUCCCAGUUUGUGAUCUUGUGGUUUAAAAAGUUUCACUUUUUCUCUCUAUAGUUUAGCUUAUUUUUACUUUACCAUUCUAUGGUUCAAAAAGUUGCACUUUGUCCUUUGUGGUUUUGCAUAUAUUUUACUUUGUUAUCAUGUGGUUCAUUAAAAAUUUUUACUUUGUCACUCUAAUUCAUAUAGAAUUUUUUGGUAAAAUAAAAAUUAAGUCACAAAGAAUUAAAGUGAAACUUUUUGAACCACGGAGUGACAAAGUAAAAAAUACUAAACCAUAGGGGCCCAUUUGAAGUUUACCCAAAAAUUUAUAAUUGAGGGCAGAAUUUUAAAUUUAAAUUUAAUUUUUAAGUUUAAAUUUCAUAAAACUGCUAUAUAUCUAGAAGUUAAAUUAAUUAGAGGAUUUUAUAAUCAGUAUUCAAAUUGAAUGUCUUUUAGAAUUUUUUUAUACUACAAAAAUUUACACUUGAUUGUAUAACUAAUACUUUAGUUCAAGUUUUAAGUUCAAAUUUGAAUCAAAUUAGAAAUUUAAAACCCCAACAUAUUUGAAACUUUAAUAUUGACUAAUUCUUUUAAUAACUAAUCAUAUAUACAAAAUUUAAUCUCAAAUUCAAUAACUUCUACAAUAAAUAAAACAAAGGGUAUAAUUGUAAUUAUACAUACCGACAAAGAGGUGGGGUGAGAUGAAACCACCAAAUAUAUUUGCUUAUAAUAAUAAUAAUAAUAAUAAUAAUAAUAAUAAUAAUAAUAAUAAUAAUAUGAAUAGAUAGAUAAGGCUUUAUCUGUCAGGCCUCGCGAUCGCCAAUUUGGUCGGUUCGGAUACGUCGAUCAAACGCCGAACGGACAGAACCUCCCCUGCCCGCCGAAGGCUAACAACAACGAGAUCAUGUAUGUAAACGGUUGCCCAGGAAACAAUAACCUCAUACAUGAUCUAAGCAAGUACUAUUACAAGCAAUCAACAAAAGAGAGAAAGAUCUAACUAUUACAAUUCCAUGCAACAUUUACAUCGAGUUUAUAUUUUUCAUCUCCAAAAUGUAUGCAUGUUCAUCCACAACUCCCCAAAAUACAUAUACAUCAUGUCCUCUCAUCUAUACAGGGUGUACUAAUGCAUAAGGAAAGCUGCUAGCUAACUAGGGUGCUAUGCCCUUACCGCGGUCCUCGCUCGGUCUGCUCGGACUCGGCCCUGCAACCAAAGUGGGGUGAGAACUACGAAUAGUUCUCAGUGGGUUCGACCGCCGACUCCGCCGAUCUUCCCACUAUGUCUAAGCAGGCAUAAGUAGAUAGAUAGAUAGAUAUGAAAAUGAGCUACUAUAUAGUAAUAAAACCUACAACAUACUACUAUGCCUCAAUAAACAGAAUGAAUGCAUAAACAUAGUAAUGUACUCUACUAAUAUGAUACUAUGUCUCAAUCUGCAAGAUAUAAAGGAAAUGUCUACAUAGUAAUGAAAUCUACUAUCAAGUACUAUGUCUGAUGUCCAAUCUCAUCUCGGCUAACCAAAAGGUUACGCCUAAACUCACAUCUCAAAUCUCGCUGGUGAGUAGACUCUACACUACAAACACCCGAGACCGUCUGUUGGGUAAUCAUGUUACCCAAACGCGACAUCUACUCCGGAGCUCACUACUUGGGGUGGAGCGCCCACGCCAAGGUUACACAGACUAUGUGAGUACGAUACAAUCCUCUCACUCGAGGAUAGUUAGUGCUUAUGUUGCACUAGUUCACAUGCUACUACUUAGUAAGUCAUCUUUUAUUCCCAAGUUCAUGUCAUCAAAUUGUAAGUGUUUACACUACACUAGUCAAAAUGCUACUCUUUGGUUUACAUGCUACUACUCAGGAAAUCAUCAUCUAUUCCUAGGUUCAUGUCAUAGUGUUUCUACUACACUAGUCCAAAUGCUACUCUUUGAAUUCAUUUACAUGUCCAAGUUCAUCUUUUGUUCUUUAGCACUAUAGGAUUCCAUGUCAAGACCCAAUCCUCAUGUAUCCACUAAAUCAAGUGCUCAACUCACUAUGUGAUUUCUACGAUGGAAACAUGCAAGGAAUUGAAGUACAACUACUUAACACAACCUAUAAUGCAUGAUAAUAAUAUGUAUGAAUAUAUGCUAUAAUAACACAACUCGGACAUAGAAGGAAGUUCAACUGCUUCAGGAUGGACACCCUCCACCUUCUGGUGAUGCCACAAAGCUAGACUCCAACUUUCAUAAUUUUUCGCCGCCUCUCUCUCUCAACUGCAACAAACGAAGCAAAAAACAGGCUUUACUUCAAUAUCUGCACGCCGACUCGUCAGAUCGCCGAACCGAGUUCACCAAUGCGUUCGAUUACCUAGUAGGUAGACAUAAAGGAGAUCAAUCCCAACUUUAGAUCUCAACUUAACAAAACCCACUUUGGAACCCUAGAUGUUCUAUAUUGCAAGAAUAUACCACAAAAACCAUUGAUUCAAGCAAAUAACAUCUACUUAGUACCAAAGGGUUCUACUAAAACCAAUUCUAGAGUUUAAAACUCAAGUCCUAGAAUUCUACCAUUAAAGCUCCAAGAGCUUACCUCUCCACAACUCCUCCAAGCCAAGGAAGAAGAUGAAGAAGACGAAGAUCCAUUUCCUUGCUUCAAUCUCCACUAAUCUCUCUUUUUUGAUCAACCCUUGAAAGAGCUUCUAGAGGGAGAGAGAGAAAAAUAAGAUAAAGAAGAGUGUUCACAGGCUGUGAACAAGAGAGGGAGAUAGGGUCUAUUUAUAGGCUGCCACAAUUGCAACAAAACUCCCCAACAAUUGCUGUCACGCCCCGGGACUGGCGGAGGCCCUCCCGGUAGCGUGCCCAGACCCGCCAUAUGUCAACACAUAUAUGGCGUCUACAACAAAAGUGGAAGUAAAGCAAGAGAUAGAACAAAUAAAAGAAGUGAAAUAACUAGCAACUAAUGAUAUCAGAGCGAGUAUAGUUCUAACAUCUACAUCAAAGUAAAUAAGUAAAGCUAGACAAUAAAAGAAAUCAUAAGUAGUACAACAACUGUCUCUAGUACAAAAAUGGUGGUCUCUAGUACACUGGUAAAACCCUCAACCUCUCGCCAAAAAGAAACACAUCGAGAGGUAGACCACCUAAACUCGUCUCUCGCUGAAGGGCUAACUCGAAGCGACGCCCUUACCACGGUCCCUAGCCUCUCCCAGCGUGGAAGGCUCUGAAAGAAAAUAUAAAACAGAGGGCGUGAGAACUAUAAUUUAUAGUUCCCAGUGGGCAAUUACCGACCUCAGCUCAUUGCACCACUAGGCCCCAAAAGAAAAGGGUAAGUCUACUAAUAAUAGUAACGAGUAAAUUGCAUAUAAGAAAGCAUAAUUAAGAUGCUAAGCUACGACUUGCAAUUAAGCAUGGCAUUCAUAAUGCGACUUUAUCUUGUCAUGGAUAAUAUAUAUAUCUAUAUGUUCAUAAGUAAUAUCAUGAUUUACUUUAUACAAAUAUGAAAGUGAUACUUUGUCAUGACUACAGUGCAUAUAAGGAUGUAAUAAACAACAUCUCCUAGCAUACUACAUGUAUGUAUGAAUACCCAAAUGUCCACAACUAUACUAGAAGUAAGUCCAAGUAAUCCUACUACUACUCUCUGUCUAGUAGUGAUCAUAAUAAACUUAACACGGUGUCGAUUUCCAUUUCCAAUUAAAGACCUACCAACGGUAGUCCAGCUUGUGCCGCCUAAGUGCCUGUGGUAGCCCGACAUCCUUACUCUUGGAAUGUGUCUGUCCCACUCGACCCCGUAGGCUUCUCAAUACCGCACGAGCGAACAUAAGUCGCGUAAGCUAACUCCGGAGUGCCGGCUUGUGGGGAGCGACCCACACAAGCAUGUGCGAAUGAGCACAAAUGGCAAACAAGCAAGGUCACUGUCUCAAAUACUUUAUCCACAUGUCUCUAUCAUGGCAAGGUCACUAGCAUCCCAAGGAUCUAGCCCAAUGUCUCUAAGUGAUGUCCUAACACUCACUUGCUUAGUGCCUCUUUAUGACACUUAAGCAUCACGCUGAUCAAGCCCAAUUCUUGUUCUAUGUUUCAUUUAAACAUUAAUACCAAUGAUUACUAUAGCCCGGGCCCAAUGCCUCUUUAUGACAUUGGCCCAAUUCUCAAAUAGUCCAAAUUCUCAAGCCCUCUCUAGGCUUCUAAAAUCCCUAAUGUCACAAUUGGCAUAUAGGUUAAAGGCAAGAAAACAAGAUCCAUUUUCAUGAUAGGGGCCCUAAUUCCAAAUCUCAUCUAGAAUGCUAUGUUUCACAUGCAUGCUCUCUACCGCAUAGGUGUAAUAUACCGAAAAUUCGGAAAAUAAAUAUCGAACUUUAGUCAAAUUGACCAAAGUGCGAGGAUGGUGCACUUCGGAAAGUCUGAAGGUGUUAAAAUGAUUAAAAGUGAGUUGUGGAAGGUUUUCGAGAGCUAGAGAAUCAAAUUCUGCAAAACUGCAGAUUUUCAGCUCUCGGGGACCGGUCCCUAAAGGGAGAGACCGGUCCCCGAACGCGUGCAGAAUGAGACAGCCGAAAAAUCGGCUAAGUCCUGGAAGGAUAGCUCUCGGGAACCGGUCUCUGCCUGAGAGACCGGUCCCCCAGAGACCGGUCCCAUAAGGAGAGACCGGUUGCUCUGCGCGCAGCAGCUCUGGCUGCGCUGGGACAACGUUCGGGAACUGGUCCCUGCUCGAGGAGACCGGUCUCUGCCUGCGCGAACUGCCCAGUUCAGGCAGUGCAUUAAGUGAAAGUUGAGGGGUUUUAUUGCAUUUUUG
Molecule: long non-coding RNA, 45256 nt
Filed under: Ananas comosus (pineapple)
Lineage: Eukaryota; Viridiplantae; Streptophyta; Magnoliopsida; Poales; Bromeliaceae
Description: long non-coding RNA (ACOM_LNC012097)
Source: RNAcentral